Molecule: long non-coding RNA, 51897 nt
Filed under: Triticum aestivum (bread wheat)
Lineage: Eukaryota; Viridiplantae; Streptophyta; Magnoliopsida; Poales; Poaceae
Description: long non-coding RNA (TAES_LNC000908)
Source: RNAcentral
UGAUUUUUUUGUGUUCAUGCACCUGACACAAGUUUCUCCGCACGCACUCUUGUACAGAAAAAAGGCAACGAAGCACAGUAGUAUACUCGACAACAACAAGAAGACCAAAAACCACAGCACCGGCAACUCGAGACUGCUUCUGAAUCCAUAAUGCCGGUGUUCCUCUCACCCCAGGUUCUCUCCCAGUUUCCUUAUCCUGAAAACACACCUUGAGAUCACUAAAGGGGAAAAAAAUGCACCUGAAUUCCUUAAAUUGAUAUGGGUAGAUAACAUCGGGAGCUAAGAACUAUCAGUGUAUAUUCAUGUCAUGUCAAGUAAAUCAACUGAGAUUCCUUGAAAUACUUGCAAAUUAAAACGAUGAAAUCCAGUAGGGGAUCUUUUAGACAUUGAAUCGGUUGAUUAUCUGCAGAAAUUUUUUCAAAAUCCUGCGAUGCACAACUUGAUACUUCACACUGCAACUGAAACAUUGUUGCCACUCAUCAUUCAUGCCAUGUCUCUGCAGCCGCACAAGAUCUCCAAACUGAAUGGAGCAAUUGCGUGUAGUUUUGAAAAUUGCUUGCUCCUAAGUGAAUUAAUUCGAAGGGAAAUUACUCCCAAAGGGACCUUUAUACUAAACUGAAGGAAAUAUGUUUUGCAAUAAAAAAUAUCCACUAAAUAAUCAGGAAUGAUAUAAGUGCAGAAAAAAAAUUGGAGCUAUAUUGCUGAGUCUUGUACUCCCUCUGUCCCAAAAUAAGUGUCUCAAAUUUGUACCAACUUUAGUACAAAGUUGUAUUAGAGUUGAGACACUUAUUUUGGGACGGAGGGAGUACUAAUGCAAAGCACAUUUAGUCUUGUAAGAAGUAGGGAAAUAAAUGAACAUGGGACUAUGUCUUAUAUAUGUUAAUAAAUUUUGUUUUGCCAGAAGGUGGUAUAGGGAAGGUAUACCGUAUGCUUACAGAUUGCCUUUGGAGUGCUUUGCCAACAAACUUAUCAACUGGAGAUGGUAUCAGCUUGAAGUUGAGGGCAUCCUUUGAUAUUAUACUCCACCUGACCAGAGGAUGGCAAGCCUUUCAAGCAAGAUAGUGCCCCACAAUCUUUGAUGGUUAAGUUGGUCAAUGCCUUGCAUGAGUGGAGCCUUAUGGUUGUUAAAGCUGAACACGUCAUUAUUUCAACUUCACUUAGCUCAGAACAAUUGAAGUCAAUCUUAACAUCCUUCAGGGAGGACAUACCAAUCAAGGAUAGUUUCUUCAGGUAUGGCAGCUCCUCAAAUGGUGGCAGGGUUUUCAUUGCUGUACAGUCUUGGAGUUGGAGGCUUUCCAAAUUGCCGAGUGAGAAAUUUCGUCCCAACCAUGUUGGAGUAGCACCGGCGUAGUUUAUGACAAGAAGAUGCGCAAGGUCACCAUGUGGUUGAAGACCCUCGAUCACUUCUUUCUGAACAUCAUUAUUUUCUCCCCAUGAGAGUGACAGUGUCCUUAGAUGUUCCUUAUCUUCAAUCCUUGCACCGCUGGCCUCUGCCUUAUCUUUGACAUUCUCAAGACCAAGGAUACUAAGCGACCCUUUGAUCUCCUGUAAGUGUUCCAGCUGCGAAAUAUUGAAGUCACUCCCUUUUUGAACCUGAAAUUCAUGCAGCUCUUGUAGAAGCUUAAGUUCUCCAACUCUUGAUAUCUUCGAGUGCAAUGAUCCUGACCCCGGAACAAGCAGAUAUUGUAGGUUCAAGAGAUUACUGAUAGACUUAGGCAAAUCACUUAGACCACUCCAAUGUGUGAUGUCCAAUACUAUUAGGUGGUAGAGCUUACAUAUAGCCUCAGGCAAAGGUCUGUGCUGGUCUGAACUGUACCUCAGUUCUAAAUAGCGAAGAUGGAUGAAAUUUUGGACACUGGAUAGCAAACUGUCAACAUUAAAGGGCAUUGCUGAUAACUUAAGUAUCUGGACAUAACUUAAUUUCUCCAAAGCCCCUACAAACUUUUCAGAGAUCUUUUCAUCAUAUAUACCUACAAGCAUUAAACUCUCCAAAGUUUUCAGAAUAUCUUUUUUCUCAAUUUCAUCCAACUUUUUUUCAAAGGUUUUAUGAUGUCCUAUAAUUUCAUCCUUGUAGACCGACUCAGUCCAGAUGCCCACAUGACGAAUGGAUGUGAAGACCUUCAGAGAAUCUGAGCCAUCAACAAGAAGGCAUUCAUGCACUGAAACUUCUUGGGCUACAUCAUGCAUUAAAUCAUGCACGAUGAAGUGCUGUUCAUCUUUCUGAAAGAAGCUCCGGUCUAUCAAAUCAUCAAAGUUGUCACUUCCGGCAUCUUCUAAUUUCUUUCUCUCGUCCAUGACAAAACCAAGAGCAAUCCACAUACGUAUCAACUGCUCCUUCUCAAAUCUGUAACCUUUUGGAAACAUAGCACAAUAUGAGAAUAGCUGCUGAAGGUGAUAGGGGAGGUGAUUGUAACUGAGCUUUAGUGCUGGUAUGAUGUCAUCCACUGUAUUUGAUAACUUCCAUUCAUCACUUUUUAAAAUACGUUUCCAGUAAACUUCAGUAAGGUUUCUCCUCAAAAGUGUGGCUACACUUUUAGCCGCUAAAGGAUUUCCUUUCAGCUUGAUGGCUAUCUCUUUCCCGAUUCCUUGAAGCUUAUUGUUUCCUUGAUAAUUCUCAUCACGAAAUAUGCAUCUUUUGAAGAAGGGCCAAAAUGUUUCAUCAUUCAUACCACCUAACUUGAUAUGUCCCUCCACUUUGCUUGUUAUAUUGGCAACAGAGAACUUCCGCGUUGUCAUCAAAAUCACAUUACCCUUGGAAUCUGUACAUCUAAGUGGAGCCAACAGUUUGUCCCAGCGAGCCUCGCUCUCUUCCCACAUGUCAUCCAAAACAAGCAAAUAUGUUUUCUUGUGCAAGUAUUUGUUGAUCACACGUUGAAGCCCAUUGAGAUGUUUGAUGUUUGCGUACUCCGAGGCAGGUGCUAUUUCUUCAAGAAUCCCUUGUGCGAGCUUGAUUUCAUCAAAAUUAGCAGAUACAUGGACCCAGAUCUUGAUGGCGAAGUCAGCUCCCACUUGCGGGUUAUGGUACACCAGUCGAGCAAGUGUGGUCUUCCCAACACCUCCAUGACCAACUAUUGGCAGAACCAGAAGCUCUUGAUCACUGAAUUUACUUGCACUAAUUAGUUUUAGAACAUCAGCCUCCUCCUUCCUCGGGAACAACUUGGAUUCAGUGAAGAAUUCUACUGCCGCGCCUAUGUUUGUGCUUGUGUUUUGAAUUGCUGCAAGCAGUUUAUCAUGUUUCUCAAUCAAGAGAGCAGCGUGAACAUUGUCACAGAUCUUAUGCAGCUUCUCCACAGUAUUUCCUAUGUCUUUGAUUUCAAAACUUGUCAAUUUCCCCUUGGAUUGAGUCAUAGAUUUCAUUGUUGAUGUAAACUGAUUGCGGCCCUUCAGUUUCAUCUUUUGUAUCUGUUCAUCGUACAUUGGAAGUGUUAGAAUUAAAACUCUUUUUUUUUCAUAUCGAUAAUACAAACUUUGAUUUCACAGAGCAAAUCGGCAUCAACAUCAAGAAAGCUGAGAUGUACUCGGCUGGCACCAACAAGCGCAGAGGAUGCACCACACUGAACCGAAGGAGAAAAAUGUUGUUUGAAAUGUGAAUGUUAGGUCUAUCAAAAUGCAAUGAAAGGAUGCAAUCUGACUACCUUUCCCUACAUUUCUGCAAGAGUCUGUUUCCAGGACUUGAACCUGUGACGGUCACAAGGCAGCACUUUUACCACUGCGCCAAGGAAAUGAAGGGGGACCUCAUGGCGCAAAUGCUAUAUUUCGCUAAGUGCAGGCAAUAGUGAGCGGUCAGAUCCUCCUAUCCAUUGCCUUAAGCAACAAACAUCAGUAAAUCACACAACUAGGAUGGCUCAAAAUAAGUGCACCCACAUGCCGCUUCCACUAGUACUAGCAAAAUAUGGUGAUGUUCGCUCGAGAAAAUAACAAGUUGGAGAAACCACAACUCCUAGCUCCAGAAAAGCUGACUAAAGUUAUCAGACUGAUUGAAAAAAGUAUUGUUGCGAAAAGUCCAUGAAUUCUAAAAAAUCCCAUUAAUAUUAAAUAUUUAUCAAUUACAAAAAAUUCAAAAAAUAUAAAAAUAUAUUAAAGAAUUCUUCAAAAAUGCUCGCAAAUUUAAAAUAUUUGUGAAUCUAAAAAAUGUUCACAAUCUUUUAAAAUAUUCAUGAAUUCAAUAAAAUUCCAAGAAUAAAAUAAACAAAGAAAACAAUAAAAUGAAUAAAGGAAACGAAACAUAAAGAAAAAAUGUAAAAGAAAGACCGGUAGAAAACCUUAAAAAACGCUGAUAAAACAGGAGGACAAAAUCGCUAGCUGGCUCAGCCCACGACAGCGAUUUCUAACAAUGGGCAGCGCUUUGUCUUGCUUCGUGCGAGACAGAAGAUCCCCUCGCCUCAAAUGCUUCCUUAAUUGCCCGGCCCAGCGCGCAGGAGCGUUGCCUCCUUUUUGUUAUUAUUACUUUCAUUUACAUAUUUUACCCCUAAAAAACUUUUACUUACAUUUUUGAAAUGGAAAAUGCCACUAUAAUUAUAGGACUGUGAUAUUUGGCACACAUGUGCCAUAUAAGCAAAACUGCCACACCUCUACUUCUUUCAUUUUAAAGUACCACACGAUCCCUCGUCCUUUGACCUCGCCUCCUCCCAAACGACCCCGCAGGCUCGCCCGAGAAACCUGCUUCUCCCGCACAUCUCGGGCGCCCACCCCCGAGAAAACUGCCACUUCUUCACGUCUACCACAUGAUUUCUCCUCAGGACAAAGUUACCAUGGUAUUCGUAUGCAAGUUAUCAGGCCUGUGUUGCAUAACUUACCGUGCUAUUUACAUAGAACGUACCAGGUGUCUAUGCUUCAACAACUACAUCCCUUCAAAGUUACCACUGUGUUUUGUACACAAAUUAUAAGGUCUUCGAUGUGUAAAAUACCGUGGUACUUACACAUAAGUUAUCAGGGUAUAUGUACAUCAACCUCCCCCCGCUCAAAGUUACCAUGAGGGAUUGUACAUGAGUUACCGGGUCUACAGUUCGUAUAUUAUCAUGGUACUUGCACCUAAAAACCUGGGUGUGUUUCGGUAGCUUUUUCCAUAGGUCAAAAAUUACCACGAUGUUUUUGCGUAACUUAUCACGCCUAUAGCACGUGUGCCCCUCAUGACACUAAACAUUAUGUGACUUUCCGGUGGCACGCCAUGUGUUAUGUUCAUCCAAGAGGCCCACGCGCGAGGCGAGUGUAUGUUUUUAACAACUUAGUUUCCUUUGGUAAAAACGUUACCAUCAUGUUUAUAUUGCAAGUUAUCGGUUAUGCAGUGCUUAUAUUAUCAUGUUAUUUACACAAAAAAUAUUGGGGAUGUUUUGAACAACUUUUUACCGGGACAAAAAGUUAUCAUGGUGAUUCUAGGUAACCUAUCAAGCCCGUAGUGCUUAAAAUAUCAUGCUAUGUACACAAAAUUUAUCAGGGGUAUGUUUCAGCAAAUCCCGCCCCCCACGGGUCAAAAACUUAUCAUGGUGUUUAGUUAUCGCAGUACAUAUGUUUUCAUGCUAUUUACACAUGAAAAUGCCAGGGGAGGGAGGUAAACUACCGUGCUAUUUACACAGAAGAUACCGGAGUAUCUUUUCAAAAAAAAUCCCUACAGUCAAAGUUACCAUGGUGUUUCUACCUCAGUUAUCAGAUGUGCGCUGCGUAUAUUACCAUCUAUUUACACAUAAAUUAUCGGGUAUCUUUUCACAUUUGUCUUCCCCAAUGGUUAAAGUUACCAUGAUGUUUGUAUCUAAAUUAUCAGGUCUAUGGCGUGAAUGUUAUCGUGCUAUUUACAGAAAUUACCGGGGGGCGGGUUCAACAAAUUUAUUCCCAAUGAUCAAAGUUACCACGAACAUGUCAAAAACAGUAUUUCCCUUAGCUUGCUCAACAAUGAGUGUCAUAGGUGAGGUGGUUAGCUCCCUUUAUUGAUUACCUGCAGACCAGAGAUCAAAUCCUAGUCCAAGCAUUAUUUUUGCCGAAAAUCGGGAAGGCGUGUGGGCCAUAAUUGACGAUUACGAAAAUUAGGAAGGCACGAGCGGGUGUGCCGGGGGGGAGGGCAUGCGAGAAAGGAAAGAAAUCGGAGGAGGUAGGUGGGGGAAGACAUGCGGGAAAGGAAGGAGAUCGGGAGGCGUGCGGGAAAGGAAAGAAAUCGGGCGGACGUGCGGGGAAGGAAGGAGAUCGGGAGGGAACUGACGGUGCUGGAUGCGUGUGGCAGUUUCGCAAUCUGUCACACGGUUGCCAUAUACAUAUUUCGAUAAUUAUAUGUUAAAAUAAAUUCAUCAAACGUUAUUUUUUUUCAUCCACAGUUAAAAACUAUUCGUGCAACUUUUAAAAAAUGUUUAUACAUUCAAAAAAACUUUCUGACAUUUUAAAAAUGUUUAUGCAUUGUAAACAAGUGUUGGUACCGUUAAAAAACUAGUCAUGAUAUUUAGAAAAAUCACACUUUCAAAAAAUGUUCAUGACAUCCACAAUAAAUGCUUAUACAACGUAAAAUAUUGUAUGCAUAAGUCUAGAAAAUGUUUUGUACCAUUAAAUUUAACGUAGUUGACAUUUAAAAAUUGUUCAAACAUUCCAAAAAAUAAUCGUGAUAAGUUAACAAAAACUGCACAAUGUAAAUAAAUGUUCGUAUAAUAUGAAAAAACUAUUUCAUACCACUCAAAGAAAUGUCCACGCAUUUUAAUAAAAAAUUUCAUGAAAUGUUAAAAAAAUAAUACAUUGUACAAAAUGUUUGCCUAAUAUAGAAAGUAUUUGUACCAUUGAAAAUAUUCAACAUAUGCUUCAAAAUGUUUAACGGAUAUUCAAAGAAAAAAUAUCCAAACGUGUAUUUCAAAAAGAGAUAAUCAUGUAUUUUAAAAACAUUCAAUGUGUAUCAAAAAACUAUUACGUGUGCUUAGUAAAUGUACAACGUGCAUUGAAAAAGUAAACAUGUAUUUAAAAAUUAAAAAUAUUUAAAAAGAACCAUUAAAUAAAGAUGGAAAACCAACCUGAAAAUAGGAAAUAAAAAUAAAAAGGAAAGCUAGGAAACCAGUAAAACACACGCGGAAAACCGAAAACCGCAACAAAAACAGAUGAAAACCGCCAUAGAGAACACAAAAAUACACGCUAAACCUGUUAUAGAAGCUUCCCUGAAAUCCGCUCCCGAGGAGCCAUAUUAGGCCAGCCAUCUGGCUCUAUCCUAGUGCGAGACAAUACUCUGUCACAGUAGGCGACAUAUAGUUUCGCGUUUCUGCAACAAGCGAAGAAUAAGAUACUGCGUGGCCACUUACGCUUACGCACAUGAUGUAGUAGGCCGACCCAGCAAGCGGAUAUACAUCAUUUUUUUUCAUUCUGGUUUCUUUUCCGUUUGUGCCGGGUCUAGCCCUCAAAACAGAAGUUUGUUCCGAGUAUUUUAUUCAAUUUUCUGUUUUCAUUUAUGAUUUUAACUCUUUUUAUUUAUGGUUUUAGUUUUUAAUCUCCUUUUCCGUUUAUUUAUUUUUGCGAAAAGAGCCUGAAGAUCACAACUAAUAAGCCGAGACUACAACAGUAGCCCUAACAAGAAAAAAAAGUAUUAAUGUGAACAACACGAACAUCACCUUCAGGAUGGGCUGAUGGCGCACCGCCAACACCAUCGGUCCACGCCCGGAGCCAAGCCAACCAUGUAUGAACCGCCAGACUGUAAGUUGCUGGACAGGAAGUCAUCGAGCCGUCCUUGAAGGACCAACAUCCCAAAGAAGGAGACUUUGCUGCAUCUGGACCAUCGUGAACGCACGCAAAUCCGGAAUGCUUCUCAUCGGCAAUGAAGCCCGCACUGGUGAAGCAGGGAAGAAGUCCCAAAACCAAAAUCUUCUGCGUGACCGCUGCCCUGCCACGCCAACCAGACCAAGGAACCCUAACCCCGUCUCUCCGUCGGAGCGGCAAGAAUCUAAUUCCACGAGCCCUACUAGACCGCCAGAGAGGCCACUGGCCGAAGAAGGCAGGAGCUCGGGAACACACAUCGCCAGAAUGCCGCCGCCACCUACUCCAAAACGACGGCGUGACACACCCAUAUCCACACCGCAUAUACAUAACAGAGCAGAGAUUUGGGGUUCCCGCACCAACCUACCGCCGGAACGGCCGACGGUGGGGGAAGGAACUCAUGGUUUUGCCGGCGGCCGCGGGGGGAAUCGAAAGCGCCUAUCGAACCUCCUCAGGGGAAAGUGGUAACCACUAAUAAGAUUUCAAACUUCUUAUUUCCUUUUCCAUUUUAUUUUAUAUAGUUUUGGUUUAUUUUGUUUUUUUCCUUUUCCUUUUGUAAGUUUUUGUUCUUGUGUUCAAUUUUUUUCUAGUAUUCCAUUUCGUUUCUUUUUUAUUUUUGUUUAUCUAUUUCCUUUUUGAAAGUAUUUUUUAAAUACGAUGAAUAUUUUUUUAAGUGUGUGAACACUUUUUAAAACAACAUGAAUGUUUUUUUAAAGACGUGAGCACUUUUUUUUACAAUCACACGAAUAUAACUUUUAAGAACUACGUGAAUAUUAUUUAUGACUUGAAAAUAGUUUAAAAUACGAUGAACAUUUUAUAAGUUGAUGAACAUUUUUCUAAAAAUGCAUGUUUUUACGAACCAUGAUAUGUGAAACACUUUUAAAAAUUCAUGACCUUGGUUUUAAAAUUUCAUUAACAUGCUAAAAACGUGUAAACUUUGCCUCUAAAUAUGCAAACACUUUUUAAAAUUCUUAAUAAGAUUUUUAAGGGAAUGCUUAAUCAUAUUUGAAAUUACUUGUUGAAAAAAAAAUACAUGAACACUUUUUUGAUGACUUGAACUUUUUUUUAAUAAAAGAACACCUAUAGCAGCUCGCUUGUCUCUCUAGAAAAACCCGAAAUGCUCUCUCUCUCUCUCUCUCUCUCUUAAUAUUGCUACUUUAUAGUUGAGACUAAUGUUGAUUGAGCAAUUCUACAUCUAGAAAAUUUCAAAUCAAAUAAAAUCAAGGUGAUAAUCAUGGCAAGGGUUAAUUAAUUUUUUAUACCAAGGUGGGUAAUUGAGUUUAUGGUUUAUCUAUUUGUUCAUUUGGCAAAUUUAUGGAAACAAUCAUAGAUGUACAUCAUGUUAUGACAUCAACACCUAUAGAAAAUCAUUCAAAAAUAAGAGCGAGUAUGCCCUGCACAGAAAAAAAAACCCAACCUAUGUUUAAAAUUGUGCAACAAAAACCAUUAUUUUUUAUGACCAAUUUGAUUAUAUUUUCCUAAAAAUGUAUUUAAAAUGCACAUGAUUUUUUUUAAAUAGAAGGGCAUAGUAGAUGGCUAUUCUUUUGUUGUUUAUUUUUUGUGAAAGAUGGCGGGUUUUCCCUCAACUUUUCCUUAGGACAUAUUUGAUUGUGAACAAUAAUUCAUGGCUAGAUUUCUACAACUAACAAUCAUAGUCUAGACGAAGCACUGAAAAACUAAUCCAUAUUAGUGAGACAUAUAUGGCAUGAAACACUUGUAGUUUUAACCCUGGUAGGCUAGGAGUACAAUCACAUGAGCUAAUUAGCCACUGGACCAAUGGCUGGUGUACCUUUUGAAGGCUCAUAGCUUAUCUCUGAGAUACAAAGUUUUUAUUUCUACAACAAAAGGAGACAAUACAAUUUUAUAUAGUUGGACACUAUGAUCGACUUUUUUUGCAAGAUAACAUGGGGNNNNNNNNNNGGGGUAAGGCAUCGUCAAAUUUGAAGUAACUGGAUUCUUACACAUAGUUUUACCAUUCCUUUUAAGAAAACUAAGGGUCCUAAAAGUUAAAACGAUAGAUGCAUUUCUUAGUGUUUUGAGGCCAUCAACCGUCUGAUUGCAUCACCAACGAACCAGAUCUUCGGUCAUCCCAAAGCGUGCACCCUGGCCUCGUUCAACACGCUGCCCUGCCCGAUCCAGUUGGCGCAAUGUAAACGGGCUGCUGCUCCACAGACCAACUAUGCUAUCUUGACGUUGAUUUGUGUUUUUAGCGGGUUUGCGGAUGAGCAAGUUGCUAUGCGCCCUGUUUGGAAGUCGGGCGUAGAGGGCAACCUCUUGUGUUUAACCAAUUGUGUACCCUUUUUGUCCCAACCUCUAUGUCCCACGGCAUCCGUGAACCGUAGGUGUCACAGCCGCCGCUAUCAUCGGCCCUGGGCCUAGGCUCCGAGUGCAGCCGCCUAGGGCCCGGCCACGGCAAGGGCCCAUACCUUGUGUACGUUUGCUUGUUUUUUAGAGAGAAGUUUGCUUGGUAUUUACUAAUACUAUGUCAUAGAAGAUAGAAGAAGAAAAGAAGUCGAUCCAGCAGGCCUAGCCCAGUAGGAGAUAGGCAUUUUAUACUGGUACUAGCAUUACUACAAAUCGAUCGAGUAUUACAAGCUGAGACGUUAAAUGAUGUCUCAAUUGUUCUAAUUCUUUAAGCGUUUAAAUAAACGCCUCUUGUACUAGAAAUGGCUGAACUUUUGUACCAAAAUUCAUAUUUACACAGAAAAAACCAUGUGGAAUUGUGGUCAGAAUUAUUUUUGCAUGUAUUUCCGUUUCAUCAUUUGGGUGUAUGCAUGCAUCCUACCUAUGAAGAGGCCGGAUGCGUGUUUAUUGUAUUCGUAUGCACUUAAGUCGAUAAAAGCUACCGUUGGCUUCAUUGUGUUUCAUCAUCAUUUGCUUCAUUUUAAGUCGAUAAAAUCUGUUCUUUGUCGAAAAUUUCUGUUCACCGCGUACAGGUGAGCUCGAUCGAGCAUGGAGUCGAGACUUGCCAACAGCAUACACCAAUCUACUAACUGUCCCAAAUUCAGGCCUAGUACAAACGCACCUUUUCCUCCAGAUCAUAGUACCGGAGCUUGUCGAGGUACUUGGCCAGCUUGACCGCCUGUUCCUGGACCUCCGUGAUCUGCCGCGCCAGCUCCUGGUUCCCGAUCAUGACCCCCGAGGUGGCUCCGGCGGUCACGGAGCCAAGGACGAGGUUGGCUCGACUCAGCUCGUGGACGAGAUGCUUCACAUCCUUGUUGAAACCUUCCGACCCCAGCAGUGCUUGGAUGGCAGCGUCUUUGAGGUGGUCGAGCAGCUUGUUCAGCACCCAUGUCGUCGCCGCCGCUGCGAGGAAGAUGGGAUCCAUUUCUCGACCAAGGCGAGGAGAAUCCAAGGACGACUAGUCCGGCGUACUGUUCGCGGUUUCAUUUAUUACGCUCACCGGCCAAAUUUUGUAGGAUCGGAAGAUGAUUGCGUUGGGUGGGAGCGAUACGCGUCGCCUCUUCCACAGCCACAUGUCGCGUGGUUCCGCUCUCUUCCCCAUCGUGGCCCCUCGAACGACCUUUCCUUACCUCUCAUUUUCUUUCUUUUGCUCUCGCUUCCUGUACUGCUACCUCCCUCCUAAUCUAUUGGUCUUUUUAGUAUUUUAUACAUAAAAUUUUUUGAUCAUAAAUUUAACUAAAAAAAUAAUAAUGCAUGUCAAAAAAUUAUAUCCUUUGGUUCGUAUUUGAACAUAGUUUUUAAUGAUAUUAUUUUUUGUUACAUGCAUUAAUAUUUUGUUAGUUAAAUCUAAGACCAAAAUUUAACACAAAAAUGCGAAGGGGACUAAUAAACCAGGAAGAAGGCAGUAUACUGCACCGAAUGAAGUACAAACGACAUGUAUGCAGUUAGACCUGUAAUUAGAUGUCUUUACCCAACAUGGUGACGGCAUAGUCUUCGGAUUGGUCCACCACCUCCUUCGACAUAGGCAUAGUGUUGAAUCUAUAUGACUAUAGUUGCUGAUAUGUCGGCUUUUAUCUUCCUUAAGUUUGUUAAUAUUUGGUUCUGUGCAUCUUAGUUAUGCAAAGGCCUGUUAUAGUUUCUUGAGGCUAUAUUUUGAGUCAAUAAAAAUACCCUUUAUCAAAAAAAUCAUCGCAAUGUGCCCUCACCUAUGACCACACAUAAUCGACGCCUGCUACUGCUGCUCCUCUCCCCGUCCCCCAUGGUACUCCUUCAUUUAUCUCUAAACCAACAGCUCUCGACCGUUUUAUAGAUAAAGUACAGGCCAAGAAACUCUUUUACAAAGAAGAUCCUAGGAUAAUUAGAUCAUUCAUAGCACACGUCUAUGCUACCAAAGUAGAAAACACCUGAAUUCCAUGACAACGUCCUCAGAAUGGGAUACGGUCAAGGUUCUGAACAAUGGAUAGGAAAUUCCUGUUCAUCAUGUGCCCACUGGCUGGAACAAGGUACAUACACAAUGCAAUAAGUAGAAAGUACUUCUUGAACUUAUCCCUCUCCAUUAUUCCUGGCAGCUUGUCAACAAAGUGCUUAACCGGCUUUCCACUGCCUCUUGCCUCUUCUCUGAAUUCCUUUUCUUCUUCGGUUGGGUCCCUAACCUUGUGGUUGCCAGGUCCAUGACGAGGCAUUAAAACUUCUAUCCUACCAUCUGAUUAGCAGUGUUUUCUUCUUUCAAUCAACUUGGUCAAUCAGCCAAAGAGUUAUGACUCUUGGGAGGCGGCAAUUUGACAUAUCUAAAAAGUGAGCAAACCCAAGCUCAACCACACAUUCUCUCUGCGUUUCAUUUAGUGGUUUAACAAUUUCAUGAACUUGAUGAGGCGCACACUUGAACCCAAUGACUUGUAAAAUAUUCACUUAUGUUAAUUGAUUGCAGCAUUUAUGUUUAGCAAGCUAAUUACAAGCAACAUGGAGAGCGGUUAUUUUGGAUGAGUUGUACAUACCGGUCUAUGCUCAACGUUAGAUUGUCUACUAGCCUUCCUGACCCUGCCAGGCAAUGAUUUCCUCCUGUUACGGCAUUUUCUUGUUCUUCUUUGGUUCAACUACUUCCUCAUCUAUGCUGUAAUCUGAUCCUUUAGACUCGGAGCUGGACUCCACGAUCUUGACACACUUCUUCUUUUUAAUCUUCUUCCUCUGCUUAGCAUGCUCACCGUUAGAACUUGGGCCAUCUCUUCCGUCCUUUGGCUUCCUCUUUCUUUUAGUGCGCUCGCUUUCUGACAUAUAAUCUCUUCUUCCUUUCACCUUCCUAUCCCUUUCAAACCAUUCAUCCCUUUCAUAUGAAGCAUGUCUCCUUCCUUUCAUCUUCCUCUUUCUGUCGAUAUCCUCACUCUCUGAAGUAGAUUCAGAUUCAUUGCUUUGCACCUCCUUCUUUGACUAUGCUUUUGUUUUUGUUUUCUUCCUGUCUUGAUUGUGUUCACUUUCUGACCUGUUGUCAUGCUUCCUACGAUGAGACUUGCUUCUUUUAUCACGGUUGUAAUGAUCUUCCUCGCUUUCAGAUAGGUCCUCAUCGUAUUUACUGUGUUUUCUUCUUGUUUUCAGGGCUUCCUUUAUACCUGCCCGUGCUCUGCUUCCUCAAAUCAUGCAAUGGUUCUUUAGACUCUGUUUUCUCUGAUUCGCUAUCAGGUAUAUCAAUUUUACGUCCUUUUUGUAAAUCUAGGCGAUCUACGUGCGAGAAGCUCAUUUCCAGAUAGAUUUUCUUCCAUAUUAUCCAGAGUUCAGUGAACAUGCAAUCCACUUAGUAAUCAAAUAAUCUACUAAUCAAAGCAUGAAUGAAAAAUACGAAUACCAUGCCAAACUAUAAGAUUGGCAAAAAAAUUAUGAAAUUGCAUCGGGCAUAUACAGCCCCACAGUCCUUCAACGACAAAACCCCAAAGAUUUCUGGAAUUCAUACAAAAUGUAGAAAUAAACAAAUGAAAAAUGCCCCCCGCCCCACACACACACACAAAAAUAGCAAUUCUCACUAGACAACAACUACACAAUAACAUGCUGCGCUCGAAGCAAGAUCUGUUAUAUGCUCACGAUAUUCCGUGGAUUUCUUAUAUGUUGAGAACCGGGAAAUUGCAUCGACCACAGACCGUAUCAAUUGCAUGGAAUGAUGGGACUGAUGGAUAUUUGGGAUUCGAGUUCCUCCAUCUAACAAAUUGAAAGCGGCAACAUAUAAUGAAGGGGUUCGACUUUGUUACUAUCGGCUGAAAGCACAAGUGCUCCCUGUGUGAUUUUUGGCAAUUAAUAUCAACAUAUCUCUUGUUGGACUAAUUGUUUUAUCUAGUAUAUUUCAGACAAGUUCAACAGUGGCAUGGCAAGUACAAGAGUACGUGGAACCCCUUCAAAAUGCUAAGGCCUAAGGACAUACAUUGGCAAGAGCUCAAGACUCUUCAUCUUUAUUUUAGUGAUCCAAGAUCAAAUUGAGUCCAUAGGAAAGCCAAUACUAUUAAAAGGGGACGAGAUAUUGCUUAAUGGCUUGCUUGCUCAAAUGCUUAGUGAUAUUGCUCCAAAACCCUCAACCACUUUCUCCAUCCAAAUAUGUCCAAAACCUAAACUCCUACUCGGCCCAUCGAUUCUUUCUAUCCGGAGCCACCAAGUUCAUAUGACAUAGCCACUGCCAGAAACCCUAGCAAUCCGGUCUCACCGAUAUGGAUCUCGGUCUCACCGAGAUGGCCUUGCUAGCGCUAUGUGACUUGUUGCAUUUAUUUCGGUCUUGCCGAGUCUAUGCAAUCGGUCUCACCGAGCUCGCUUGACAGACACUCUAUUGCUCGUUGCUUCACUUCGGUCUCACAGAGUUGAUGCAAUCGGCGCCACCGAGUUGAUGUUUGCCCUAAGCCCUAGCACAUCAGUCCCACCGAGUUGUUCCAGUCGGUCCCACCGAGAUUCCUAACGUUCACAUUUUGAACAAAUUGGUGCCAUCGAGUUUAACCAUUUGGUCUCACCGAGUUGAGUCAAAUGUGUUUAAUGGUUGGAUUUUGUGUGGAGGCUAUAUAUACCCCUCCACCCCUUCUCCAUUUGUGAGAGAAUCAUCAGAACGUGCCUACACUUUCACUACUCAUUUUAUGAGAGAGAACCACCUACUCAUGUGUUGAGAUCAAGACAUUCCAUUCCUACCACAAGAUUCUUGAUUUCUAGCCUUCCCCAAGUUGUUUUCCACUCAAAUCUUCUUUCCACCAUAUCCAAAUUUGUGAGAGAGAGUUGAGUGUUGGAGAGACUAUCAUUUGAAGCACAAGAGUAAGAGGUUCAUCAUCAUCAACACACCAUCUAUUACCUUUUGGAGAGUGGCGUCUCCUAGAUUGGUUAGGUGUCGCUUGGGAGCCUCUGUUAAGAUGUGUUGAGAUCGCCCCGCUGUGAGCCCCCUGCGCCAUGGCCGCACCCUCGAUCGAUCGAGCCCGCCCGCGCACACACACACACACACACACACACAUGUACAUGCGCGCGCGCACAUACACACACACACACAUACACACACACACACAUACACACACAUUUUUCUUACUUAUUUUCUGUUUUUUAGUUUUUUAUAUUUUUAGUUAUAGAAAUGUUAUAUGAAUUAGAAAUAUAUAUAAAUGUUAGAUUAAUGUCAAAGUUUUAGCUAGCUAGAUGAAUUAGAUUAAUGUCAAAUUGUUAAUUAGAUGAUCGAAUUAGAUAUAUUAAUAUCAAAUGUUAGAUGAAUUAGAUAGAAAUGUUAGAUUAAUGUCAAAUGUUAGAUGAAUUAGCUAGAUAAAAAUGUUAGAUGAAUUAGUUUCUUAUACUUUUAGUUAUAGAUUAAUUAGAUAUAUUAAUGUUAGAUGAAUAAGUUUUUUUAUACUUUUGUCAAAUGUUAGACGAAUUAGCUAGAUAUAUUAAUGUUAGAUGAAUUAGCUAGCUAGAUAUCAUAUGUCAAAGUUUAAAUUUUGACAUAUGCAACAUUUGAUUAUAUAUAUUAAUUGAUCAUAUGUCAAAGUUUGAAUUUUGACAUAUGCAACAUUUGAUCAUAUGUCAAAGUUUGAAUUUUGACAUAUGAUAUUAAGAAUGCCCCCAUAUGAUAUAUUCUUCUAUAUGUCACGUUGUCUGCCAAAGUAUUGAAAAAUCCAUGGCUUCAUCAUUAGCCGGAAGUAACAGGCAUAUGAUGCUACGAAGCUCUUCAAAGUUGUUUUGAAAAGGAGUUCUGGAUAGAAUAAUUCACUUUUUUGGUACGAAUUUCAGCAAAGGCUUUCCAAAUAGCGAUAUUCGGAAGGCUUUACUGAACUUUGUACCAAAAAGCGAAUUAUCCUAUCCGGGACUCUGUUCUAAAACAAUUUUGGAGAGCUUCGUACCAUUAUGCGGUUGUUACUUCCGGCUAAUGAUGAAGCCAUGGUUUUCUUGAAUCCUUUGACACUAGACAACGUGACAUAUAGAAGGGUAGAUGAGAUCAGGAAAAAUAUGGAUCAUUUUCUGCACAUCCAGAAUGGCGCCAUUUUGUUAAAUCCCUUAAAGGUUAAGAGAAUCCGUUAUGUUACAUUUGCAUAUAUAAUUUGUAUAUAAGAAAUCACAAUCCAAUCAUUUAAAAAUGUUACAUUUGCAUAUAGAAUUUGUUCUCGACGUCAACGAUGCCUGGCCCGCAUCCUCGUCGUCGACCCGUUCGCGACGACGCCCUGCUUCAGAGGAGCCAUGUCCGGGACUGGGCUCCGCCGGGCUGGCACUGGGAGGUGCUACCUUAAGGGGCGCGCUGCUUGGUGAGGAACCCGGCUCCGGGUCCCGUCGGCGACCCGGAGCUCCUUUGGUGGCGUUCGCGUGAGCCACUUUCGGUGCGGAGGGAGCCGGCCCCGCCGGAGGUGGUACGUCGCCGUUUCAGGGAGGAGGACGAGCACGUCCGUCGCUACAUGGCUGCUAUGGACGUCAGGUUCUCCAAUACCUGGCAGGUUCUUCGGGGAUCUCACCCGAGCUAUGAUCCUGUGAUGGUUCCUUCUCUUUGGGUGUCCACAGCCCGCGCCUCAGGAACCGUUAGUGAACUAGAUUAUUCGAUAGUAUACGAUCUAUAUUAGCUAGCUAGUGAUGUAUUCGAUAAUAUUCGAGACGAUGUACUCGAGAUUAUAUAUAUUAUUCGAUAAUAUUCGAGACGAUGUAUUCGAGAUUAUAUUCGAUGAUGCAUAUUAUGUACUAUGAUUCAAUUUUUCCUUAUUGAUUGCAUGCAUGCAUUGUAAUUUGAAUACUAAAAUGUUUUAUUUUUCUUCUGGAUUAGUUAAAUAAAAGCUAUGGACAAUACCGGCAGAGAAGGAGAGGAGGCCCUGUUCAACAUCAUAAGCUCAUCCCCUCGCCCAGAUGAGUUUGAAGAAGAUGACGGCUCGCAAUAUCUGAACCCUACUGGUGAGGGUAUGAUAUUUGAUGAAGACGAACGAAUAGAUGAAGUCCAGAACUAUGAUUAUGAUUAUGAAGAAAUGUUGAUCUUGAAAUAACAAAGACCGGCGAGGUAUAUUUAUAUAAGUGAUAACCCACAAGUAUAGGGGAUCGCAACAGUUUUCGAGGGUAGAGUAUUCAACCCAAAUUUAUUGAUUCGAUACAAGGGGAGCCAAAGAAUAUUCUCAAGUAUUAGCAGUUGAGUUGUCAAUUCAACCACACCUAGAUAACUUAGUAUCUGCAGCAAAGUAUUUAGUAGCAAAGUAGUAUGGAAGUAACGGUAACGGUGGCAAAAGUAACAACAGUAGUAUUGUAGCAAUUGUAACACUGGCAACGAUAAAGUAACUAAACGAGGAACAAUAUGUGAAAAGCUCGUAGGCAUUGGAUCGGUGAUGGAGAAUUAUGUCGGAUGCGAUUAUUCAUGCAACAGUUAUAACAUAGGGCGACACAGAACUAGCUCCAAUUCAUCAAUGUAAUGUAGGCAUGUAUUCCAAAUAUAGUCAUACGUGAUUAUGGAAAAGAACUUGCAUGACAUCUUUUGUCCUACCCUCCCGUGGCAGCGGGGUCCUAAUGGAAACUAAGGGAUAUUAAGGCCUCCUUUUAAUAGAGUACCGGACCAAAGCAUUAACACAUAGUGAAUACAUGAACUCCUCAAACUACGGUCAUCACCGGGAGUGGUCCCGAUUAUUGUCACUUCGGGGUUGCCGGAUCAUAACACAUAGUAGGUGACUAUAGACUUGCAAGAUAGGAUCAAGAACUCACAUAUAUUCAUGAAAACAUAAUAGGUUCAGAUCUGAAAUCAUGGCACUCGGGCCCUAGUGACAAGCAUUAAGCAUAGCAAAGUCAUAGCAACAUCAAUCUCAGAACAUAGUGGAUACUAGGGAUCAAACCCUAACAAAACUAACUCGAUUACAUGAUAAAUCUCAUCCAACCCAUCACCGUCCAGCAAGCCUACGAUGGAAUUACUCACGCACGGCGGUGAGCAUCAUGAAAUUGGUGAUGGAGGAUGGUUGAUGAUGACGAUGGCGACAGAUUCCCCUCUCCGGAGCCCCGAACGGACUCCAGAUCAGCCCUCCCGAGAGAGAUUAGGGCUUGGCGGCGGCUCUGUGUUGUAAAACGUGAUGAAUCCUUCUCUCUGGGUUUUUUCUCCCCGAACGUGAAUAUAUAGAGUCGGAGUUGAGGUCGGUGGAGCACCAGGGGGCCCAUGAGGCAGGGGGCGCGCCCCAGGGGGGUGGUCGCGCCCCCUACCCUCGUGGACAGGGUGUGGGCCCCCUGGCCUUGAUUCUUUCGCCAGUAUUUUUUAUAUAUUCCAAAAAUAUUCUUCGUUGAUUUUCAGGUCAUUCCGAGAACUUUUAUUUCUGCACAAAAAUAACACCAUGGCAAUUCUGCUGAAAACAGCGUCAGUCCGGGUUAGUUCCAUUCAAAUCAUGCAAGUUAGAGUCCAAAACAAGGGCAAAAUUGUUUGGAAAAGUAGAUACGUUGGAGACGUAUCAUUAAGCAGGCAUCUGGUGAUCAUCACAUGUUUUAAAUGAUUUGUAUAUAUAUUAACGAAUCGAUAUUUCUUCUUUCAGCCCACCGGAUGGAACAAAUCUUCUACAGGCAGCAGGACAGUGCGAGGCCCGGCCAAAAAGUUGAAGGAUGGCGUAAAGUACAACAUCGAUGCCAUCAAACCUAAUGGCGAACCAAGCGAACCUAAGAAGAAUGCGGGCAAGUUCAUUCGUCAGUGCGGAGUUCUUGUGAAGGACCAAAUCCCGAUCUCCAUUCAAGAAUGGAAAAAGGCAGCAAAGGAACGUCCGGAUCUCACUUUUGUCGACCAAAGAGCAAAAGAUCUGCUUUGGAAAUCUCUCAUGUCACAUUUCACCCUACCAGAUCAUUUCACAGAUGCAGAUGUGCAGAAAGUCAAGGAUGCUGCUCUUAGGAAGAUGGCAGUUGCAUUCAACAGCCACAAGAAAAGUAUAUGAGCCAAGUACGUCGAAGGAGGAAAGAAGACUCCAGAAUUUACGGGAACACUAGAGAAGCAAAGAGAUCACUGGCCCGCUUUCGUGAAAUUCAAGGAAUCGGAAUUAUCUAAGGAACGGUCGAGAGUAAACAAGCUCAAUGCCGCGAAAAAGGAGCAUUGCCAUAGGCUGGGGCCAGGUGGCUACGCGGUGGCCCGGCCUAAGUGGGAUAAGCCUAAGCAACAGAUGGUGGAUGCAAGGAUCAUUCCAGUUACAUUAAGCUGGCCCCCAGGUGCAGGACUUGGUUCUAUGCGCAUGGGGGGACGUUGGACCCAAAGACAGGCCAGGUUUUGGAGAAGGCAAGUCUUAAAGGAGCCGACCUCAAAAUACUUGUUGCAAUAGAAGAGGCUCGAACGGGGGUGUUCACGCCCAACAGAGAGAACGACGAGUUUACGCGCGCCCUGGGAAAUCCUGAACACCCGGGAAGAACACAAGGCAAAGGUGUUGUUCCGUGGUAUGAGGGGUUUGCGGACUGGAAUGCCGACUACAGAAGCCGUGCGAGAAAGAAGAUGAAGGAGGAGAAGAAGAGGAAGCUGGAGGAGGAGCAGAGGAAGUAGGAAGCAGAACGCCUUAAAGGCCUAGAAUCAGCACACACGGAGUUGUCACUCCAAUUCCAGCAGCAGCAGUAGCAGAUCGACUCACUUAGCAAAGAAAGGGGGUCUCAGCAGCGGCAACAGCUAGCGGAUCCAGCAUUGUAUAGCACCGUCCCAUCCACGCCGAGAAGCAGCGUGGGUUUCGCCCCAGGUGAGGCACUGCUAGAUAGAUACCCUGUGGACGACAUCAUGGAUAACACUAAUUGUGAGCUACACUUCAAAAUGAAGAACAUAUCCAUGAAGGUGGCGGAUGCCGUUGCUUAUACAAAUCCCCCCUGAAGCAACCUUCCAUUGCAACCCGAUUCCAGCUAGCUAUGCUCGUGUCAUGGUUGAUGAAGUGGUGGCACGAUAUUCAGGGCUAGAGCUUGACAUUCCUUGAGGUGACGACAAGCACACACUGGGAGAGGCCAUACAUCGUAUCAUUCUAUGGAUAAAGGAUUGCAUCAUCUUUCCAAGGCCUCCGACACCGCGUCAGCCGACUCCUCCUCCAAGUCCGCCACCGCAUCAGGAGACUGUCGCUCCUCCUAGUCAUCAACCAUCGCCUCAGCAGAGUCCUGCUCCUUCAAGUCCCCCAACGCGUCAGGCCACUCCUCCUCCUCCAAGUCCGGCACCGCGUCAGCCCACUCCUCCUCCUCCAAGUCCGGCAACACGUCAGCCCACUCCUCCUCCUCCAAGUCAGGCACCGUGUCAGCCGUCUCCGCCGCCUCAGCGGGCUACGCCACCUAAGCAACAAUGGAAGAGAGUCGCCGCAGCUAUGGUGGCUAGCAGUACAAGUACAGGUACAGGAGGCAAGAGAUUCCAAUUUGGUCCAAGCCUAACGCCUCUUCCGAAGAGGCCUUACGACAUGACCAACGAGGAAAACGAAGCCGAAUGCAGGGCCCAAUUGGACGCCCAUUUUGGACCGAAACCACCACCGCCGCCAAAGGAGAAAGUGCCUGAGCAUGUCGUUGACCACUUUAUUCGUAUGGCUAAAGCACCAGCUCCCAAGCCUAUUGACUCAGACUAUGAGCGCCAAAUCAGGAAGGCAUAUAAAGCACAACAAAAGAAGGAGUCGAGCUCGAGCUCCAGCCAAGCAGCUGCCAAAAAAGCGGGAAAACUGUUCCCCAGCUGGGAGAANNNNNNNNNNNNNNNNNNNNNNNNNNNNNNNNNNNNNNNNNNNNNNNNNNNNNNNNNNNNNNNNNNNNNNNNNNNNNNNNNNNNNNNNNNNNNNNNNNNNNNNNNNNNNNNNNNNNNNNNNNNNNNNNNNNNNNNNNNNNNNNNNNNNNNNNNNNNNNNNNNNNNNNNNNNNNNNNNNNNNNNNNNNNNNNNNNNNNNNNNNNNNNNNNNNNNNNNNNNNCUCAUUGUACCAACACAUGCGAGUACCGGCGCCGAUCGGUUGGUAAUAACCGACGAUCAUAGAAGGCAGGAUGCAGAGAUCGGUAUCACUGUUUAUCAACUCCUAGAGAUCGAGCCCAUGGAUACGAAUAGAGAGGAGGACAUAAAACAGAAAUAUGCCCGCGGCGAACCUAUGGUCAAGCCUGAGGAGGUCAAGAAGCUCCAACGAGAAUGUAUGAAUUGAUUCAAUGGUACAUGAAAAUUGCCAAAACUACCAAUCGAGAGUCCCUCAUGGUGAAAGUCAAGCCAGAGUAUUACUACCAUGGGAAUGAUCUGUAUGUUGAGUUUACAGAACUAGUUCAGUUAUUCAAUCAAGACGCACUCGACAAAUCUAUCGUCAGUUGCUAUUGUCUGUAAGUGAUUUCUUUCUGUAAUUUAAGUCUCAAGCUGCUAGCGGUAGUGCUCGUUGAUCAUUACCUGUAAUUAUCCUCACUAUAUUCUUUUCUAUGGUAUUAUGCAGGAUGAAGAUGUAUGAAAUGAAAAAAGCUGGACGCUAUGGCAUUGGGUUCAUUGACCCAAAUACCAUUAAUCAAGAGACAUGGACGCAUCCAUGGGAACAAAAAGACACAGAGAAAAGCUUGCUAGAGUUCUUGAAGCUCCUAAAUACCAAUCGAGAUAUAAUACUUCCUUACAACUUCGGGUGAGUCUCACACUGUCUUGUAGUACAAAUUCUGUUUUUGCUUACGAGCUAGAUGUUAAUAAGUGUAUAGGGUUUAGGAUAGUUAAUGAGUGUUAGUCACAUGUCCGCUUAAUUUAUACAUGCAAACGUGUGCGCAUGCAGUUUCCACUGGAUCUUGUUAAAUAUUCAAGUUGAAGAUGAAAAAGUUGAAGUACUGGACUCACUACUUAAACCAGUUACUGAGUACGAAAUCAUGAAGGGGAUAGUCAACAGGUAAUUUCAAUCAUUAUCAAACUAUAUAUGUUGGCCUAUUUAGUUCGUCAUUUCCUGAUAUCAACUAAUUAAUAACUCAUUUAUUCAUUUUCUUUGCCGGCGGGCAGGGCUUCGGAAAAGUUCAUCAAACAGAUUCCAGGCCAAUGAAAACAACAGCUAAAAUAAUGUCGACCGAAGGUAAUUAAUUAAGUAGUACUAGCUAGCUACCAUCUCUUUAAUUCUAGUUUCAAUACCAUUAAUUAUCAUGCUUGAUUAAUUAUUAUCUGAUUGAAUUCUAUUCUCGUAAAGGCCCUGAAGCAGGCUCCGGGGACUGAUUUAUGUGCAUACUACGUUUGCGAGAACAUUUGCAUGAUGACGUCCGAAAGGAGUAUAUCUGAUAGACAGCUAUGGGUACGUUUGCCAGAACACUAUUCACAAUUUUUACAUCAUUAUUGAUAUCUAAUAUAUAUACACACAACUAAUACAUGCAUAUUUGAUCUCCUUCUUUAAAGUUCAACGAGAUGCGGGAUAAACUCCUACCAACGGAUCGCGUACGAGCAAUUCAAGAGGAAAUAGCGGGGUUUUUGCUCGACCAGAUCAUAGAUCCCAAAGGAGAAUUUCAUUACCCGCUACUGCAGUAAUGCCUCCAUGUUGGAGAAAUUGUAUAUACCAAAUUUCAUAUGGUCGGUUCUACGAGAAAUUCUAUAUAUGCAUAACGUGUACAAUAUGUAGUAUCGUAAAAUAGCAGCAAAUGAAAAAUAAUUAAAUGGAAAACACAAAAUUAAAAAAAUAAAUCAUAAACCCAAAAAACCCUAAACCUUUUAGUACCGGUUGGUGUUACCAACCGGUACUAAAGGUCUCCCAUCCCUCGGCGCGGGCUCGUGCCACGUGGUGGACCUUUAGUGACGGACUGACGGUUCGUGUUGAACCGGAACUAAAGGGGGGCCCUUUAGUCCUCACCCUUUAGUGCCGGUUACAGAACUAGCACUAAAGGUCCUUUCGAACCGGGAUUAAAUCUCAGUUUUCUACUAGCACUAGUAGAAAACAGGGCUUUGGUUCGGGCAGGGCAAGCCCAUUAGUCCCGGUUCAGUCAUGAACUGGGACCCAUGGGGGCAUUCGUCCCGGUUCGUUAGCCCGGGGGGGGGGGGGCGGCCGGGGCCUUGUGGGCAUUGGUCCCGGUUCGUGGGGAUCCAUUUGUCCCGGUUCUAGGCACGAACCGGGACCAAUGUGCCUUGCUCCUGGCCCACAACCAUUGGUCCUGGUUCUUGGCUUGAACCGGGACAGAUGGCUGGGCUUUAGUCCCGGUUUCAGCCACGAACCGGGACAAAUGAGCUUCCUAUAUAUACCCCAUCGCCACAGCAGAGCACUCCACAGUGCUCUGUUUUUUCUGGCCGGCGAGGGGAGGGCAUUUGGGUGCUCUAGCUCACCUCCUAUGCAAAUGAGGUGUUCGAUGAAAUGUCUGAGCCACACUAGUUAAUCUUUCUCCUCUCGAAACUCGACCUCCGAGCUCCAUUUUCCCCGAGAUUUGUCCAGGUUUAGCGGUCUGUCACGUCCCGUCCCCGUCUUCACCGCCGUCGAUCGCCCACGCCGAUCUCGUCGCCGACACCACCGUGGUGAGCCUCUUGUUCUUAUCUUCUUUCUGAAAGAAAAAAAUUCUUACUUCAGAUAGAUACUUGUCUAAUUUUCUUACUUUUAUUAUUCCUUGUUAUUAUAUAGUGCGAUGUUUUUGGUAUCCGCCCCCGUCGUCCCUCGUCCUGUCUAUGAUUCGGAUGUGGUAUAUAUUAUCUUUUUAUAACUAUUUGGUUCAUUUAUUGUUUAUGACAAUUAUGCCGACCAACGUGACAUAUAUUUUAUUUAUCUAGGAGGUGGUUGAACUGGAAAUUCCAACCGACCCUAUUGUCGAGAGGUUAAAUUUAGUUGAAGAAGAAAACAAUUACUUGAAGGAAAAAAUAAAAAAAUGAGGAGGAGAAGAUGAUAUUGGAGUUGCAUGUUGCGAAUGUCGUCGAUGAUCACAAGAUCAAGAUGGAUGCAAUGCUGUUGAAGAUUAGAAAGAUUAGAAAAUAUGCCAUUCAUACCGAGGCUUGGUAUCAUUAUGCAGUUCGAUCAAUUGUUACCUUGGUUGCGAUUAUGAUCGCAUUUCUUGUUGCAUUGAAAUGUUUUACAUAAUUUCAAUGUAUGGUUUAAUUAGAUGCUCCGGAGAGCUAUAUAUGUUGUUCAAUUUGAUGUGGCUUUGAAUGGUGCAUUUUGAACACACAAAAAGUCAGGAGUUCAAAUAAGUUUUAAAAAAUGAAAUCCCUUUGUAACAGACGAGUUCCGUAUGAAAUCCUGAUACUUCGAAAGAGAUUGUCCGUUUUGUACACGAAGUGCAUCCAGUUUUUGCCGUAACCCUCUCAACUUUCUUGCACAUGCUAUGUGGAUGAAAUGAUGAUAUCAUGCCAACUUUCAACCUUUUCAGAGUUCAUUUAAAAUGCUUUUCAAUUUCAGAGACUUAUAGCUCAAAAUAAUCAGUAAAUGCAUGAAAAAUGGUGCAUGAAAAAUAAAAAAUAAAAUAAAUAAGUAAUUAGAAACAAAAUAAUAUAAACUUUAAUAAAAUAUAUAAGUAGAAACAAAAUAAAAUAAACUUUAAUAACAUUAAUAAAAUUUAUGAAACUAAAAUUAUCAAAGUAUUUUCUGUUCAAAACAUUAUAAGCAACCUCUAGUAUUAUUGAAACUAAAAUUUUAUAAAAUUGAUGCAACUAAAAUUAUCGAAGUAUUUUCUAUUCAAAAUCAUUAAAAGCAAAAAGAAUUUUCAUAAAGAACUUUUUUGUUAGAAACUUUAAUAGUAAAAAAUUUAUCAUAAAGUAAAAUAAAACAUAAUUAGAAACAAAACGAAAGAAAAUAAAUAAGUUUUUUGUUGUAAGUAGAAACAAAACAAAAUUAAUAAAGCAAAAAAGAAAACAAAAAAACAGGCACAAAUAUAAAAUAUGCCACCUACUAGGCCACCACGGCCUGAAUACAACUAGAAACCCAUCGAUGGGCCAGGAUUCAGGCCCGCAGAAGGCCCAAUAGGCCCAUCAGGCAUAGAAGUGACAAUUAGGCCCGUAAGCCUGCAAUGAGAGGAGCUCGAGAGGGGUGCGGCAGUGGGGCUUAUAAACCACUGCGCGCCCCUCUCAACUAGCGAGGUGGGACUAAACUUUCGACGCGGGCAUAGCAGCACAGGGCCUUUGGUCCCGGUUUGUGGCACCAACCGAGACUAAAGGGGUGCAUUGGUACCGGUUCGUAGCACCAACCGGUACCAAUGCCCCCCCCCUUAGUCCCGGUUCAUGCCACCGACCGGGACCAAAGGCCGCCGCUUCCCGCCCUUUAGGCUGCCGAAAACUGACCUUUGGUCUCGGUUGGUGGCACCAACCGGGACUAAAGGGGGCAUUGGUCCCGGUUGGUGGGACGAACCGGGACCAAUGCUCUUGGUAUAUAAGUAGCACUUUGCAAUUUUGCAGAGUUCAUCCCCACAGUUGCCCCCGAUGACGCCGAGCACAUCGACGCCGCCAGGCUGCCCCGACGCUGCCCGCCGCCNNNNNNNNNNNNNNNNNNNNNNNNNNNNNNNNNNNNNNNNNNNNNNNNNNNNNNNNNNNNNNNNNNNNNNNNNNNNNNNNNNNNNNNNNNNNNNNNNNNNNNNNNNNNNNNNNNNNNNNNNNNNNNNNNNNNNNNNNNNNNNNNNNNNNNNNNNNNNNNNNNNNNNNNNNNNNNNNNNNNNNNNNNNNNNNNNNNNNNNNNNNNNNNNNNNNNNNNNNNNNNNNNNNNNNNNNNNNNNNNNNNNNNNNNNNNNNNNNNNNNNNNNNNNNNNNNNNNNNNNNNNNNNNNNNNNNNNNNNNNNNNNNNNNNNNNNNNNNNNNNNNNNNNNNNNNNNNNNNNNNNNNNNNNNNNNNNNNNNNNNNNNNNNNNNNNNNNNNNNNNNNNNNNNNNNNNNNNNNNNNNNNNNNNNNNNNNNNNNNNNNNNNNNNNNNNNNNNNNNNNNNNNNNNNNNNNNNNNNNNNNNNNNNNNNNNNNNNNNNNNNNNNNNNNNNNNNNNNNNNNNNNNNNNNNNNNNNNNNNNNNNNNNNNNNNNNNNNNNNNNNNNNNNNNNNNNNNNNNNNNNNNNNNNNNNNNNNNNNNNNNNNNNNNNNNNNNNNNNNNNNNNNNNNNNNNNNNNNNNNNNNNNNNNNNNNNNNNNNNNNNNNNNNNNNNNNNNNNNNNNNNNNNNNNNNNNNNNNNNNNNNNNNNNNNNNNNNNNNNNNNNNNNNNNNNNNNNNNNNNNNNNNNNNNNNNAGGAGAAGAAGAGAAAAUAGAAAAAAAAUUCUAUUUUCUCUUCUUCUCCUCUUUUUGUUUCUUCUUUUUUUCUUCGAUCUUCUCCUCUAUUACUUUCUUCUUCUCCUCUUUUUAUUUCUUCUUCGUCUUCUUAUUUUUUUAUCGGGUAUGUCGUUGUCGAUAUACCCCCUCCCGAUAACUUCAACACGAGGGGGGGGGGGGUCGAUAUACCCCCUCCCCGAUAAUAUUAUUUUCCCAUGUAUGUAUGUCGUCGUAUGUCGUCGUUGUCGAUAUAACCCCCUCUCGACCGUGAUAACUUAUACCACGGGAGCACCCCCCAGCCCUCUCGCUCGACCAAAACUCUCGAGGAUGUCCGUCUCCUACCCCCUCCCGCCGCGCCCCUACCCGACAAACUCUCUCGAGGCCACCCAAAUUUACCAAGUGAAAAGAGCGUUGUCGUUGAGGCCACCCCAAACCCUUGAAGCGUUGUCGAGGCCACCCCAAACCCUUGAAGCGUUGUCGAGGCCACCCCAAACCCUUGAAGCGUUGCCGAGGCCACCCCAAACCCUAGAGAAGCAGCGUCGAGGCAACUAAUAUGAUUCCUUAUUGUGAUUAGCUAGCUAGUUCUACGUUUGCCACUAAUAUAUCCGUCUGUCAUGUUUGAAUAAUAAUUGCCAUGUUGUAAAUAUUUGCAGAAACUAUGGAGCACCCCCGAGACGAAGCAACAGAAGAGGUGUUGGGGGACAUAAUUGCACAAGGAAGUUAUGCCGUCUUGUCGUUUCUCAACAACACCGAUGGUCUGGAAGGACAGGGUGAAGAAGCAGGCUACGGUGAUCGAACAAUUGAGGAGGAAGGACAUGAUUAUGAUGGCUCCGGUGACCCAAUGCCGGUGCAAGGAGACCGUGAUGACGGCUCCGGUGACCGAACCGAGUCCGGCCAGGUAUAUAUAUUAGUUAAGCAUGUGCUGACUAGCUAAUUGAUGCAUUCAUUGUUUUGGUAUGUACACAUAUUAAUUAACUCUCGUCUUUCUUCUUUUUUCUAGCCCUCCGGAUCGAGCACAACUUCGGUAAAGAGACGAGGCCCGAAGAAAAAGUUGCGCUCGGAUGAAAGGUUUGAGAUCACAGCAAUCGCGCGCGAUGGCAUGCCGAUUGAACCCAUCCGGACGAAGGAUGCAUUUGCUGCUCAGUGCGGGGUUCUUGUUAGGGACAAGAUCCCGAUAAGCAUCCACAAAUGGUGUAAGCCUAAGAAGGAAGACCCAGAGGUGUCUUAUGUCGAUGAUAUGCAGAAAGAUGAUCUUUGGACCGCGCUGAAGGCAAAUUUCACCCUACCGCCAGAGGAGGAUCCGGAGAAGCCAGUUAAAGAGCAAUUGAUCAAGUCUCAUGCUCUUAAGAAGAUGGCAGAACUAUUCAGGAGGUGGAAGAAUGAGCUGAAAACAUCGUUUGUCGACAAAGAAAAGACACCAGAAUUCACCGGCCGGUAUGAGAAGAUCAGAGAUCGCUAGCCUGCAUUUGUGGCCCACAAGACAUCGGACAAGAAUAAGAAGAUGUCAGCGACAAACAAGAAAAAUGCUGCGAAGAAGAAGCUUCACCAUCGCACGGGGUCAGGUGGCUACCUCAAAGCCCGACCGUUGUGGGCAAAGGCUGAGAGGGGCCUGCUUGAUAAAGGGGUCCAACCAGAGACAUUGAACUGGCCAGACCGUUGCCGGACUUGGUUCUUCGGGGCUGGCGGAACCUUGGACCCUAUAUCAGGGAAGUGCGUUUGGACGAACGAGCAACUGCAAAUACCUGUCACAAAGCUUCAGCACUAUAUCGAUGUUGCGCAGCAAGGGACGUUCGUUCCAGACAGAGUGAACGACGAGCUCACAAUGGCCCUCGGGAAUCCUGAGCACCCUGGACGGACACGAGGCACGCCAGGCUCCGUUCCGUGGAAGGCUGGGUUUCCGGACGCAGGCGGUUACAAAUGCCAUGAGAGGAGGAAGAAAGUGCAGCAGACCCAACUGGAGGCGCUGCACGCAAGGGUACAAGCGAUAGAGGAACGAGAAGCAGUUCGCAGCAAGCGACCUGCCGAAGCUACCCCCGAAGCUACCCCACCAUCUCAGCGGAGAAGCAGUGUGGCUUCCACCGAGCUGCUUCAGCAAGAGCCUGUCUUCACGGCUCCUGCUAGCUACCCCAUGGAUGCUAUCACGGAGUCUCAACAUUGGCACCUUAUGACGCAAUGGCAGAACUUCAAAGUCAAGGCGGCUGUCGGCUCUGUUCAACCUCCUAAACCCGACGCAACUUUUCGCUGCCGUCCAAUUCCAGAAGGAUAUGCUAGGGUGACAGUGGACGAAAUAACGGAGAGAUUUGAGGACCUCGAGCUUGACCACCCUACCGGUGAAGGGGAGACUCGGCUGGGUUCUUCUCUGAAGACUCUAUGCCUAUGGCGGAAGGAGCUCAUCAACCUUCCGAACUGGACGCCUCCGCCUCCUCCUCCUCCUCCUCCGGCGAGUCCAGGCACUCCGCCUCCUCCUCCGCCUCCUCCUCCGGUGAGUGAUCAGCCUCCUUCUCCGGCGCGUGGCGGCACUCCGCCUCCUUCUCCGCCUGCGCCGGCGCGCCCGAGCAGCCAGCCUCCUCCUUCUCCGCCUCGUCAGCAAGGGCGGAAGAGACCCGCCGCCGCUCCGACUGCUCCGGCGCGUCGUAGUCCUUCUCCUCCGCCUCGUAAGCAAGGAAAGAAGACAGCCGCAGCCGCUCCGUCUGCUCCGGCGUCUAGCAGUACAGGCAGAGGCGGGAGGCAACAAUACAGAUUCGGUCCAUCUCUCAAGGCUGUAGAGAAGUUACCAUAUGAGAGGACCGUGGAGGAAAACGUGCCGAUCGUUGAAGCCUAUGUGAAGGACUUCUUUGAAACGCAAAGAGCUAAGAAACAUCCACCUCCGUUGGAGAAGAUAGAUCCGGUGAAAGCGAAGCGCACUAUAGAUGCCCUAAAGAAACAACCGAAGUCUCCGCCGAAAGGCAACUAUGAGCGCAUUAUUGAAAGAUCAUAUAUCGAAGCGGAGCGGUCGGGAAGUAUUGUCAGUGAUCAAAGGUUAGCAGAACGACGAGCUGGGAAAAAAAUUGCCCAGCUCGGCGAACAAGAGAACCAAUCGUGCACCCCGCUCAAGGUGUCUACCGAUAUCGUCACUAAUCAUCCGGAGAUUUUGCCUGGUACCAAUCGUGGAGAUUACCUGCCCGACGAUGUACAUUAUGAUUUCUUGGAGGUGGAGGAUUUCAGAUACCAUUAUGGGAAGCCUCUCGUCAAAGAUGGAACUAUUCUAACAACGAUGAUGCGAAGAUUGCAUGAUUGGUACAUGAAAACCUGCAGAGAGUCUGGGGAAAGGAUACUUUGACGCUGAGAGUUAAAGAGGAGCACGACCUCGUUGGAAUUGAACUGUUGAGUCUUCCAUUUGAGGAGAUCUUCCAGUUAUUCAAUCAAAAGGCACUCGAUAAAUUAACGAUCACUUGCUACUGUCUGUAAGUACUAUACUUCUGUCAUUAAGUCUCUAUAUAUAGCUCAGCUCUUUCAUUGCAUGUAUAUAUAAUUAUCCUCACUAUAUUAUGCAGAUUGAAGAUCGUCGAAUGCAAGAAAAGACAAGUCGGUGAUAUUGGGUUCAUCAACACAAAUCUCAUAGAUGAAUUUAUGGUUAAAUAUAAUGCCAAAGAAACCGAGGCCAACUUGCUACGAUCGUUGGUAAAAGAUCAAAACAAAGCUAUAAUACUCUUUCCUUACAACUUCAAGUGAGUGUUACUGUCUUGUGCAUAUUCGGUUUCCCUUAUUACUCGAGGUUAAGUAUAGUAAUGUAAUUGAUGAGUUAUGCAUAUGCGUGCGCAGCUUCCACUAUAUUCUCCUAGAGAUUAAGCUUGAGCGGGGACUAGUAACUGUCUUAGACUCGACACGAAAAAACCCCGAGGAAUAUGCGGACAUGACUAACAUGCUCCAAAAGUAAGUUCAAUCGAUCAUUAUCGCACCAUGCAUAUCGGCAACUUUGUUCAUUUCCUGAUAUCAAGUAAUUGUUUUCUUUGUCUGGCAGGAUUUGGAAAAAGUUCACCGCACAAACUCCGGGACUGCCGGGGGAGCUGCGAUUUAUCCACCCGAAAUUAAGUACUAUUAGCUAGUUCCGUGCAUCUCCAGUGAUUCUAGUGCUAAUUUCAUCAAUACCAUUUAGCAUGCUUGCUUAUCAGUUUGAUUGACUUCUGUUUCUUGUAAAGUGGUUGUGGCAGGAACCCGGGACUAAUUACUGUGGAUACUACGUUUGCGAGUCCAUCCGCCACACGACCUGUGAGCGGGGCUACUCUAAAAACAAUAUGAAGUGCGUAAGCAAUAAUAUUCACAAUUUUCUUUUAUUACCAUCAUUUGUGUUGAGUUUCAUUCAUAUAUAUGUAUAUUGACCCCCUUCUUGAAAUUAGAUGUGGCAGAUGCGGGAUGAACUCCUACCACAAGAUCGCAUGAAAGCAAUUCAAGAGGAAUUGGCGGGGUUCUUUCUUGACCAUGUCAUCGAUAAAGCCGGAGAAUACUAUGUGGAAUAUGAGUUCAGAGGUUAAUUAGGGGAUUGUAAUAGAUCUUAUAUUGUAUAUAUGUAGCCACUAGUAGCAUCGGAUAGAUAUACGAAAACUUGUUGUUCGACCAAUCUCUCGGAGAAGGAGAGGUAUAUCACUUAUCUCUGUAUGCAUAUGUUCAUGACGAUCUUCUGUACUUAAUGGUUUACUUCAUUUGCUUACUAGCUAGCAUGUCGAGUCCUCUCUAUAUGUAUAGUACGUAGCGUCGACCAAGCACGGAGAUAAGAGAGGACACUUCUCUCUAUUAGCUAGCUAACACACCCUAAAUUACCCCCUAAACCACCCCCUUUCAGAAAAAAAAACCUCAGCUGCUGCUAGCAGCUGACGCGUGGAUGCCUAUUGGUCCCGGUUGGUGCCACCAACCGGGACCAAAGGCCCCCCUGCCUGGGCUCGCCGCACCGGCCACAUGGAGGCCCAUCUGUCCCGGUUCCUGUAAGAACCGGAACUAAAGGCCUAGGGCUUUAGUAACGACUCUUUAGUCUCGGUUCAAAAACCGGGACAAAUGAGCCUUACGAACUGGGACAAUAGGCCCUUUUACUACUAGUGUAGUGUUGGUUAGGUGUCGCUUGGGAGACUCCGACAAGAUUGUGGAGUUGAACCAAGAAGUUUGUAAGGGCAAGGAGAUCGCCUACUUCGUGAAGACAUACCCGAGUGAGGCAAGUCCUUCGUGGCGAUGGCCAUGGUGGGAUAGACAAGGUUGUUUUUUCGUGGACCCUUCUUUGGUAGAGCCCUCCGUGGACUCGCGCAACUGUUACCCUUCGUGGGUUGAAGUCUCCAUCAACGUGGAUGUACGAUAGCACCACCUAUCGAAACCACGCCAAAAAAGUGUGUCAUCAUUGCGUUUGCACUCUCCAAACCCUUUGCUUUACCUUCAUAUGCAAUGUUUUAUUUUCCGCUGCUAAACUCUUAAAAUUGCAUGUGUAGCUUGAUUGCUUGACUUGUGCUAAUUGCUAAAUUCUGCCCACAACUAAAAUUGAAAAAAAAAAGUUAAUUUUUUUUAUUUGAUCAAGUAGUCUAAUCAUCCCCUCUAAACCUACUUUUGUUCCUACGCAGGUCUACAUCAGGUUGCAUCGCGAGAGCCACUAGAUGCCUCUGUUGCAUCGCUCGAGUCUGACUGGUUAGAAAUAAUUGAUUUGAAUGUUUCUAUCGGGAUUGGCUGAGCAAUGCUUUAAACUUCAUGCAGACCAAUAACUAGAUGCAGGCCAAGCAAUCAAAAGAAGGAUUUUUGCACUGCACGGGUCUGAUUGGGCUAGAGCCUAUCAAACAUAUCCUACGUAUCCACCAGAUGUGUCAACCAUGGUUGCACAUCCACACAUUGGUUUUUCUCACACACAAAAAAGGAAAAAACCACAAUGGUGUGCAACCCCAGUUGCACUUCUUCCGGCUGUGCGCAACUGCUCCUCCACCGUCCGCCCGUAAAUGUAGUUACGUGUCUGGCAACCAUGCAAAACUACUUUUACCUGGCAUUUUAACCUCGAUUGAAAAGUUGACAAAAAGUAUUCAGGUGUUAGAAAAUGUAAAUCAAGGAAAAAAAGGUUUAAGAAAAUAACAUAUAAAUGAGAAAGGAACGUGUUCGGCAUCCCUCUGCUCCUGGAGCGGCCGGAGCGGAGCGGAGCAGCCCGUGGCGCAUUUUCCUAGAGUUGUAAAACUGGCGCUCCAUCCGUUCCCGUAUUAUACAGAGCUGGAGAGCUGCCGAACAGGGCCUUAGCCACAACCAUAUACUCCCUCUCUAAACAAAUAUAAGAAGGUUUAGGUUUGAAUCACUACUUUACAGAGGGAGUACUACUAAUAGAGCCAUAUGAAACCCACGAGUUACAAUAUUGUAGCACUUCCCUUAGCUUCCGUCUCCUCUUUUCCUGCCCACGCUAGCUGCACCAUGAACGAUGAGAUGGUUGACGUUACGAGUUCGAGCGCCGAAGGCGAUCUGCAGCAGUGGGCGACUGGGUGGGGUAUUGGGCGCGAGGCGGCCAAGCUUAACCAUGUCCGGCGACACCUCAAUUCGGUGCUCACCGAGGCGGAGGGGAAGGAGAUCCAUAACGCGCAGCUGGCGCGAUCUCUCAAGGAAGCCCGUCAUAUGGCUUCGCACGGCGAGGACCUCUGGAGCGGGCUGGACUACUACCGCAUCCAGGAACACCACCACGACGGCGCGGUGAGUGCCUUCUUCAAUCUACUAUCACUGUUUAUAGGUAACUGAUGGAGCAAGAGAUUCACGUGAUGGAAAAACCAUGCAUACAGGAGUAUAGAUUUUUCAAUCGAUCGGUGUAGAUCCAGCUGUUGAUUUUGCCCGAUCGAUCUUGAUUUGUUUCCUGUGGUCUGCACCCGGCAGGAAGGUCGUCGGGUGGAUGGAUGGCAUGGGGGAGAAGAGCCUCAAGAUCUCUUGGCUGAGGAAGGUGGGGAAUCGGGGACCGCAGUUGUCCACGACAUGCAACAGGUGAGAGUGUCCUUGUGUCCUGUCCAUCGCUGCUUUGUCGGCAAACCUGCCCCAGCCUAUUAUCUCCACUGGGUAUUUUAGUUCCUUCAUUAACAUAAUACUAAUAAUAUAAUAAAAAAAAUCCAAAGCAUGCUUUGCAUGUAUCAUGGUCUCUCUCUUUUUUUUUGCGGAUGCCCGUAUCAUGGUCUCUCUCUCUUUUUUUUGCGGAUGCCCGUAUCAUGCUCAUCUCCCCAUAUUGCAAGUACAACAGCUUUUCCCCUAAAAAAAGUACAACAACUUUUGGAGUAAAUUUUCUCCCAUGAGGUUCAUGCAAGAUCCAAGUUAAGGGCCUCUUUGCUUCGCAGGAUUUUAAACCGUGGGAUAGAAAAAAGAUAGGAUUGGAAUGUCAUGCUCAUUUUAAUCCUACAUGAUUUCGGGUUAUUUGAUUGCAUCAUAGAAAAACAAAAGGAGUAUUUCAAAAAGGUUUGAGUGGAUACUAGAAAUCCUAUAGGAAGUAGUUAAAAAAUUCCUUAGGAAAAAAACACUAUGGAACUCAAUCUUAUGAAUUAAACAACCAACUAGAAAAAAAUUCUAAGGACUCUAAUCCUCCAAAAUCACUAUAAAAAUCCUUUGAAUCAAAGGAGCCCCAAGGAAAAUUUGGACAGUAAUUCGGGCUGAAUUAUGGGGAGGUCAGCAUCAUCUAGGUCAUAAAUCGUGGGGUCAGCUCAGCUGCCAUGUAAUCAUAGGCCAUUGUAUUUAAUUAAAGGAGGUGAGAGGGGAAGUUGUAUGUUAGACUAGCUACAAUGGAGAGUAACAUACACUAGUAACAUACACAUAUCCCUAGACUAUAUUACUACUUUCAUAGUGGGUAGUAACAUAAGACUACCCAUAGUGAGAGUAACAUAGGUAGUAACAUCACACAUAUCUAGAUAAAGUAGAUGAUGUGGCAAGCAAUAAAUGAAGAAAGAGAGGGAAGUGGUAACAUAGCUAGUUACUAGUAGUAUGAGUAACAUCAUACAUAUCAAGGCAAGAUGUGUCUAUAGCCUAAUAAAUAAAGUGUUACAUGUUACCAUACAUAUGUUACUCCCCACUAUAGAGGUAGUAACAUAGACUAGUAACAUGCACCAUGUUACUAGUCUAUCUUACUACCCAUUGUGGCUAGUCUAAGUGUGGUGCCAUGCAAAACUUCGUUUAUUAGGUUAUAGACUCAUAUUGCAUUGGGACAUGUAAUGUUACGGUAACUAGCUAAGUUACUCAAACUACCUCUCUCCUCAUUAACUCAUUGCCACGUAAGCAAAUUUGUUGAGUUGGACUCGAUGUUACCGUUGAAGUUAAUCCCACUUCUAAGCUCGCUUUUCUAUGACGUGUAAUCAAUACCCUGAUCCUCUGUAGCUUAUUUUCCUAGUGUUCCUCUCCUUCCCAUCUCGGUACAAUUAGGUCACAAUGUUACAAACAUGAUCGGAUGAUCCCUAAGAGCAACUAGUAGACUCGCCAUAUGGCCCCAAUUACCAUAAUAACCAUUCAAUAUGGCGAUUUUGGGACAAAAACACACUCUAGCAGAGUCACCAUACGGGCCUCGGUCGCCAUAGUUUAUGGAGGGCCGUCCAUAUCCAGCCGCAAGACUCCAUAUUUGAAGGCUGGGGGCAUUGGUUUGAAGCAUGCUCCAUCCACCAAUGGCUCGCACGGGAAGGCNNNNNNNNNNNNNNNNNNNNNNNNNNNNNNNNNNNNNNNNNNNNNNNNNNNNNNNNNNNNNNNNNNNNNNNNNNNNNNNNNNNNNNNNNNNNNNNNNNNNNNNNNNNNNNNNNNNNNNNNNNNNNNNNNNNNNNNNNNNNNNNNNNNNNNNNNNNNNNNNNNNNNNNNNNNNNNNNNNNNNNNNNNNNNNNNNNNNNNNNNNNNNNNNNNNNNNNNNNNNNNNNNNNNNNNNNNNNNNNNNNNNNNNNNNNNNNNNNNNNNNNNCCAUCUAGCAACCCACACCCUCUACUUUCCUUCUAGUUGCCCUCAGCCUGCACAAUCACCGCCGCCGAACUGGGUGAUGUUCUUGGAGUGAAUUCGAUGUCGAUUUUUGAAUACGUGAGAAGCAUGGAAUCCAUAGAGAUUUCAUGCUUCUCACAUAUUUAAUCAUCGUCGUCAGAAUCAAAUCGCCGCCAUCAAAAUUGAGUCACCCUCGCCGCGCGAAUAUCGAUGAUGUUGUAUGAAACUAUGAUAAGCAUUAGGUGGGACAUCCGCGUGGAUGUCUAUUAUAAUGCUUAUUAUGAUUUCGAGCAUCGCCGUCGAAUAGAGUCGCCGUUGCCGUAAUCGGCACCCGAAGCUGAAAUCGCCGCCGGAUCGGUACCUGAAGCCAAACCACUGUCGGAAUAGGUACCCGGUCGAAAUCUUCCUAUCCCUCGCCGCCCUGCUCAUGGUCAUCUAAGCCCUCGUCGUCGUGCUCGGGAUUUAACUGAAUGUUGUUGGUUUUUAAAUAAAUAUGUAUUGCAGAUUGGAGGAAAAAAUAAUGUUACACUGACGAGUGGGUCCCUAGACAUGGAGACCGCAUUAUAGCAACUCUAUGUUUGCUCACAGCCGCCGCGGCGCUCCAUAUCAUGGAUGUUAAUUGCCUAAACUUGAUAAGAACGAGCAAGAAAUCAUAAGUUUUAACGACUGAAACUAAAGCGUAUUGUGCUCUCGUACAAGAUUCAACUACUUCACAAUCACGAGGCAAUCGAGCAGCCCAACAAGGCUUGGCAGGUGCGUGUGCCCGGGCACCUACAUGCCCCUGCGAAUUUCCGCCGGCACCCCAUCAGGACCAGGCGCUUUGAGCUCUUCAAUACAAACCAAAGCGUCUUCACUUGUUCCUCGGUCUAUUGGCCACGCAACAUUUUCUCCUCUUGGAAUGAUAGCUUGUAGGAUGCCUUCAUUAUUUUGUCCAGCUCUAGAGGUGAAAAGGUUGUAAAAGUAGCAUGCAAUAUGCUCUUUCGUUGGCUUACUUUUCUUAGGGCAUCUUCAAUGCUGACUCGUAAAUUUGCUCUAGUAUCCCUCCGCGGUGGGGAAACUAGUCCGCAAAUACGGAUGCAGAAGCCGUCCAUCUAACAUUGUUCGCAUACAUUUCAACCCUUGUUUCAACUAACCAGAUGAAAUUCAUGCAAACACGACGGAUUUCAUUCAACUUCGGUCAUAAUUUACAUUAAAAAAGUCGAUAUUUCGACCGUUUAACUAAGAACUAGAAGAAGAAGAAAUCUAAACCCUAUAACGGAUGACCACCUCGUACGCGUCGCCGUCCUGCCAUGCCGCACCGCCAUCGUCGUCCCUGCCGUUGUCAUCGUCAUCAUCAUCGUCCCCGUACGUGGUCCCUCAAGCGGCGGAAAGGCGCUGAGGGCCGUGGGAGCCUUAUCUGGUGGUGCCCGUCGCUCGGUAAGGAGCCACCCCGCCUCCUUCAGUGCAAUGCGGAGGGUCAGUGCGGCCACUGCUGAUGUAGCCUUUGGAGCCUUGGCGGCGGCCUUGUCACGACCGGAGUUGCCGGAGCAGCCGCUAAGCGACUGCACCUCGCUGAUCUUGGCAAGCUCGCCGUCAAGGUAGCGGCGAUGCCUGGCGGUUGCCUCCACAGUGGUGACGGAGCAAUCGAGUGCCCACGCGACGGCCAAGUAGGGGGUCUUUGAGGGCCCAAUCCGGCAUGGUGUCUCUUUUGGCGAACGCAGAGCGGCUGUCGCACCGCGCCUGCUGCCUCGUCGCGCGCUCCUCGUCAGAGACGACGACCUCGGGGCCCAAGGGCCCGCCGACACUGCCUCCUAGGAGGUAGUGGAGAAUGCAGCCCUGCACCUUCGCGAUCACGGGCGGCAGCUCCACCUUGACGGUNNNNNNNNNNNNNNNNNNNNNNNNNNNNNNNNNNNNNNNNNNNNNNNNNNNNNNNNNNNNNNNNNNNNNNNNNNNNNNNNNNNNNNNNNNNNNNNNNNNNNNNNNNNNNNNNNNNNNNNNNNNNNNNNNNNNNNNNNNNNNNNNNNNNNNNNNNNNNNNNNNNNNNNNNNNNNNNNNNNNNNNNNNNNNNNNNNNNNNNNNNNNNNNNNNNNNNNNNGGGUGUGUUGGCGACGUUGGCUCGUCCUUGACACGAUGUCCGAUCUGGACGCUGCGGUAGUGCGGGGGCAAUGCCGACUCUUCCUUGACUUGGCGUCCGAUCUAGACGCCAUGGUUGCGCUCGGACGAUGUCGGCUCGUCCUUGACCAACCGGAGCUGGGACGCCGAGGAUGGUGGCUCCUCCUUGACGCGAGCUGGCGAUGGUGGUGACGUGCCCAUGUAACGAAGUGAACGCUUCGUCAAUAACUCGAUCUAACGGAUGAAUUCUUCGUCCGUCACAGCGGCCUCCGAGAGGAGGCGGGGCCUAUGCUACGACAGUUGUUGCUGCGGCAUCUAGUCCUAUGGCCAGAGGAGAUGACGAUCUCCUCCUUGCCGGAGGAGCCGGACAGCGUGUGCCGAGAUGCAGACGUGGUCCUGGACGGACACGAUGUCGUGCACGCUAAAGUUCAUCUCGGUGCCGCCCUCAUGGAUGGUUGCCGAGGCAUGGUCGCCGUCCCCGCCAUGGGAGGAGGUCGUGCAGGCGCCUCCGGCCAUGCAGCCACCGCAGGGGGCGCCUGCCCACUCUCAGAGGCGAAUCCAGGAUUUCUCAAAGCCUGGGGCUAAAACUAAGCGGCUAUAAAUAACGGUUCCGGGAAGAUGGUGGCCAGGUCGGCGGCGGCGGGAAAAACGGCUCCUUCAGUUUUACAGUAGGAUUUUCGGCGAGUGGCGGCGCGAGCGUCGGCGGCGGUGUAGGGGCAUCCUCUCGUUGGCUGGAGAUCUGAGGCACGCCUCCAACCUCCCUCCCAGCGUCGGCCAGAUCCAGCGGCCGCCGGAUGUGGCGCUUCUGCCCCUUGUUGCCUCUUCCUCCCUUGGGUGGCCGGAGCGGCAUCGGCAGUGGUUCUGGGCCUUCUCCUUCUUCGGCUCCAGCAGAUCUAGGUGCGCCUCCGACCUUCCUCGGCCGCCUCAGUACCGUCGGCCGUUGUCCUCCUCUCUGGUGCGGCGGUGUCUCUUUGUGCGUGCGGCCAUGUCCUUGCUAGUGCUCUGCUCGUGCAAGUGGUGUUGGCUCGACGCUCUGGUGGCUGGUGUCGUCUCUGCGCUGCUCGUUCUACUUCAUUCUGUGUCGUCGUCGUCCUCGUGAUUUACAAUGGCGUCACGAGUUCAUGCCCUGGAUAGUUCUUGCUGUCUGUGUGUGUGUGUCUGUUUUUUUAGAAAACAGGCAUUUUGGCCGGCCUUAAAUUAACAAUGGCAGAGUCGAUUACACAUCAAAGAAAAAGAAAAGGAGCCUGCCAGCAAGGCCUAGUCCUAAUCCGCUGGAAGCGGCGCAUCAUCCGCCCUGCUAUUUUCAAACCAAUAAAAGUUGCACAAUUUUGGUACAAGUACAUGCCAUACCUACGAAUUAUAGGGGGGAUGUUUUUUUAUUAAGUGUGAUUUGCAACAUUCCAAGACAGACAUGUGCUUACUGGUUGUUAUUGUAUCUGCUCAGGUUGCCAAAGACACCACAGAAGAACAUUCAUCUUCAGCACUGGCUGCUCUUCAAAUUGUGCCCUAUGCCAAUGUUUCCAACCCAAUAGUCCCGUCCACCAGCAGCAACACUCGCCCGGAAUGGCAUCUUGGCGUAUCACGUGAGAUAGAUGAACACGUUAAGGCCUGCAUCAGGAUGACCAGCAAUCUGCAAGAGGCCCUUGUGUUAGAACAUCUGGAUGACCGUUAUGUUAUUGCGCAGAGCACAGGGGCGACUGAUCCUCGGGAGACGUCAUCUUGUCCCACCAAACCCAAAGUUUAUGGUAGGGACCAAGAUCGGGACCUUGUAAUAAGUAAGUUAACAAGCAAGGAAUCUGCUGCUGAGAAAAACCUCUCCGUCCUUGCCAUAAUCGGUUACGGAGGAAUUGGGAAGACUACCCUGGCUAAUGUGGUUUUCAAUGACUCUGCUGUGUCAAAUCAUUUUGACGCGCGGUUAUGGGUCUAUGUUUCUGGCUAUUUUGACCAAGCUAAGAUUAUGCACAGAAUGCUCGAGUCCUUGACUGGGGACGACAGGCAUGAAAACAUCAAGGGUUUGAAGGAGCUGCAGGGCACCCUUGAAUCUGCACUGAAAUCAAAAAGGGUGCUACUUGUGUUGGAUGACAUGUGGGAAGAUAGGCAACAGCAAAAAUGGGAUGAGCUGCUAACUCCACUGCUUUCCAGUGAUGUUCCGGGGAAUAAAAUUCUCGUGACAACUCGAAAGCCAUCUGUUGCAAAAUUGAUUAAAGCUACAGAUCAGAUUAGUCUGAAUGGUAUAAAUGAAGACGACUUCUGGGAUUUUUUUAAAGAAUGUGCCUUUGGAGAUGAGAACUACAAAGUUGAACCAAGGCUGAAGAAAAUUGGAAAGGACAUACUUGUCCAGUUAAAAGGUAAUCCUUUAGCAGCAAAAAGUGUUGCCAAAUUAUUGAGAAAGAAUCAUACUGUUGAUUUCUGGAGGAGAAUUCUGAAAGAUAGUGAAUGGAAACAACAAGCAGAUGACUACGAUAUCAUGCCGGCCCUGAUGAUCAGCUACAAAUAUUUACCGGUGCACCUCCAGCGGUGCUUCUCAUACUGUGCUGUUUUCCCAAAGUAUUAUAAGUAUGAGAAAGAAUGUUUGGUCAAUAUGUGGAUAGCCCAAGGUUUGAUAUGUUCCACUGACAACAUGCAUAAACGAACGGAGGACAUUGGAAUUGAAUUUUUCAGUGACCUAGUUGAAUGGGGAUUUCUUCAAAAGGAAUUUGAACUUAUGACCACACAUAUCAUGCAUGAUCUCAUUCAUGAUUUGGCACAGAAGGUUUCAUCUCAUGAAACCUUCACCAUAGGGGACACUGAGUCUAGAAAGGCACCACAGCUUGUUCGUCAUGUCAGUAUAAUUGCUGAGUGGGUGUAUAAGACAGAAAUAGAUGGCACCGUGCAUCCUAAUGAGACUUUCCUCCGUGGAUUUUUUAAAUCAUUUGGUGAGCUGCAACAAACUAGUAGUAACUUGAGCACAUUGUUGCUGUUUGGUCCACAUGACUUUGAAUUUGCACACUCAUUCCGCCAAGAAUUCACUGAGGUGAAGUCAGUCCGUGUGUUGAAAUUAGACAUGGUGCUCUCUGAUCUGGAUUUAAUGAUCGGAAACAUUUCCUCAUUUAUUAAUCUUCGCUAUCUGGAGUUGGGCUGCUUUUAUAAGGGCCCCAGGUUGGAACUGCCAGAGGCUAUAUGUGUGCUUUAUCAUUUGGAAGUACUUGAUAUAAAGAAAAACUGGGGAAAUAGCACAGUUUUACCAAGAGACAUGAACAAGUUUGUUAAGUUACGCCAUUUUAUUGCCAGGGAUGAGUUGCAUGCAAAAAUAGCGGGUGUUGGGGAGAUGGUUUCCCUUCAAGAGCUCAAGGCAUUUGAUGUCCGAAAGGCAAGUGAGUUCAGCAUAAUGCAGUUCAGAAGAUUGAAUCAGCUCAGAGGAUCAAUUAGGAUUUGCAAUCUUGGUGAUGUAGGAAGCAAAGACGAGGCCAUCAACGCAAGAAUCUCUGAGAAGGUCCACCUCACUGGUUUGCAUUUAUCGUGGAACACUGUGUCUGAGGAUAGAGUUCAUACUGAAAGUAAUGUUGAUAUCCUCGAGGAUCUGAAACCACAUGCCGGACUUAUAGAUCUGGGAAUCAUAGCAUACCGUCAUCCUGUACCUUCAUGGCUCAGCAACAAUAUUCACCUCACCUCAUUGCGGUCACUUCAUCUGGAUAGCUGCUCUUACUGGAAAACGAUUCCAACACCCCACCAAUUGCCUCUGCUCCGUGAGUUGAGGUUGAGUAAUAUGGUUCGUGUUUCCAAAAUAGAGAUUGGCUGUUUGGAGAUAUUGGAACUACACACUUUGCACCGUUUAACACAGUGCAUAGUUUUGGACAAGGAGCAGUUAUCUGUGAAUCUGCGAGUUCUUGAGAUAGAUGACUGCAUUAGAUUGAAGGAAUUCCCCUUGCUGUCUAUCUCUAAAGAUACGCUAAUAAGUGAUUGUCAGUUUACUCAUCUUCACAGGCUUUGGGUUCGCGGUUGCUUUGUUCACAUGAGCAUCUCACAACUUCUGCACAUGGAUUCUUUAUUGUAUAUAGAUUUGUUCUUGAGGCCAAGUUUGGAGCAAUUUCGACUUGUACCGAUUGGCCAAUCAGAUGGGCUGCGCAUGGAAAUCAAAGGAACUGCGGAAGUUAAGAGCAAAGAUGAAAAAUUGUUCCCAUUCAACAAACUCAGGGACUUGGAGGAGCUUGAAAUAACAGAUUAUCCAGGUCUGAUGUGCCUGCCAUGGGAAGGCCUUCAAAAGUUGGCAUCAUUGAAAAAAUUUAAGAUGAGUAACUUCGGCAAACUAUUUUCUUGCAUAUCUGGGCUCUAUCUGCCUCCAUCAGUCCAAGAACUUGAGUUUAAUCGGUGCAACAUCACAAUGAAACAACUGUCGCAUGUCCUGCUGAGCCUUCCGUUGCUCAAGAAAUUCAGUUUAACUAGUUGUGAAGAGGUGACAUCUUUACCUAUAGGUCUGUUUACAGAUGAACACAACCAAACAGUGGAAGGCUCCUGGCAUAUCCCUCCCAGCUUCUUGGCGACUCUGGAAAGCUUGGAGAUCUCAUUCAGAAUGAGAGCGCAUGCCAAAGAAAGCUCAGUGAUGCAAUUUUGGAGCAAGCAAUGCUUGGGGAAGUUCACCUCUCUUAAGAAAGUUGUCAUUGAAUAUUGCCCUGCUCUCCUAUCUACUGUGAUUUCAGGAGGAAUGUCCCAUAUACCUCCAUCUUCUCUGGCAACACUCCGUGUGGAUUGCAUCACAGACCGCCGUCUGCAAUUAUCAGAACUCUCUUCCCUCACCGAUUUACAUGUCAUUGAUUGCUCAUCUUUGACAUGUGUCAACUUGGAUGGUUGCACUGCAUUACGAGAGCUGUAUAUUUCAGGAUGCGGCAUGUUAUCAUCGCUUGAAGGUAUGCAGUCAUGUGAGGCAUUGCGGCAGUUUAGCAUCUAUGAUUGCAAGGCGCUUCGUUCGCUCAGAGUAUCGCUCGGCAGCCUCGCAACACUGAGCAUAGAGAGCAAUCCCAAUUUGGCAUAUGUAGACCUGAAUUCUUGUACGGCGCUGCAGAAACUGUGCAUCAAAGGCUGCGCUACAACAGCGUCGUGGGAUGGUCUUAAAUCCCUUGGUGCUCUCGGGGACUUGAAAGUUGAAAAUUCUCCAGGCUUCACAAGGUCAUGGCAAUUAGCAUCGGCAGAAGUUGAGAGCAAGCAUAGCAGCUACUUCCCGCGAAGACUGCAAGUGCUUGAUAUUGAUGACAUUGGUGUCCUAUGUGUGCCCAUUUGCAGUCAGUUAACCUCUCUGAAGACACUCACCAUUCAUGGAUCUAUUUAUUGUCGGCGUGACUAUGGGGACGCUUUGACGGAUGACCAUGAGAGAGCACUGCUACUUGUCACCUCCUUGAGAGACCUCGAAUUUGAUCAGUUUAAGCAUCUCCGGUCACUGCCUGCAGGGCUUGAAUGCCUUACAACGCUGCAGAGGCUAACUGUUAGCAGAUGUGAACUUAUCACGUCCCUACCAGCGGGGGGUAUCCCGGCAUCGCUCAGGGACAUGGAAAUCCAUGGUUGCAGCGAAGAGCUAACUGCACAAUGCCGAGCAAUGUGCAGAGAUCGAAAGAUAUAUUUUGGCGUUGGUGCUUAUACCGUUGGCUCGAUAGAAACAGAUUAGCCUGAGUAUCUGUAUGUAUCAAGAUGCUGCCAUAUAUAGCUCCACUUUCUGGCUCCAAAUCUGGUUUGAUCCUUGAGAGCUUCAGAAUCAAUCAGGUAGGGAAUCAUGUUUCAAAUUUGAAAGUUGUCAGAUUUCUGUCUAUGCGAUGUAUUCCUCUGACUGACUGACUGAUGUGCUAAAGCUCAGUCAGGAAGUUGUAAUGUAGGAAAACAUUAGGUAAAGUCUUGUUUUCCAUGGCUUAUUCCUCCAUGGAAUUUGUAGUGGGCUUCACGCUGAUCUGUUGCUAGAAUGUACUGACCAGACUUGUUUCAUUUUUGACAGGAUGUAACCGGUUCUUGCUGCUACAAUCUUAAUUGCCAAGAGUAUUGAGAGAAGAGAACCUGUGUGUAUUAAAUGCAUGUACAUCAGGGUUCAGGUUCGAAACGACGGAUGAAGAGAUUUGCUAGAUUUAUCCUAUCCAGGUGAAGGGAUUUUGAGCACACUUAACAAAUUCCAAUUUACGGAUUCGCCGAUAGAAAUGAUCAGGCUGUUUUUUAGGGACUUGAAGAAAAAGACUGGAGAGCUGGAGGGAUUUAAAUCAUUUGUUUUUAUCUUAUGAUGAUGCAGUUCACAGACUUAUUGUUUUACUCUCCUUUUUCCACAAUUGAUAGUAUCAAUUCAUUCAAGGCAAUUCAAUAGUGAGUCUACUAGUAGAAUAAUCCAUGUAAAUGAACUAAACCUUAUAUAGAAUCUAAAUAGAAUUUAAGAAGCAGUCAAAAUAACCAAAUUCCUACAAUUUACAAGUUCCACGACGUUAAGUUGUUGCAGAGCUCUUAACUGUAAAGGGUAUUCACUUGGAAACCGUCAAAAUCCAUACAAUUUUCAUGCUACUACUGCAUUGAUUUGAGUAAAUUACGUAAAAUCACCACUUUAAGGGCUAGGUUUGUAGAAAACACUACGUUACAUUUUUUUUCAGAAAACACCAUGUCUACCGUAAACAUUUUGCAAAUUAUAUUGAUCGGCAGAUUUGGAUCAGUUAAACAUGUUUAUGACAGUUGGGCCCUUUUUUGCUUACCUGGCCUAACAUUUUUGUGUCAGAUCAAAUUUAAUCUAGAUUUACAAACCAGUCCUUAGAUUUUACAUAGAGACCCUGAAUCAAAACGUAAAAAAGCAAUUAGACACACGUGCAUCCCACACCACUGGUUGGUGCGGUCAACGCUGGCGGCGCUGGGCAUCUCCUUCGCGCAGCGGCGCAACCACGCACGAGCCACACCGGGGCAGCGGCGCGACAUCCCUCUCCAGAUCCGUAUGGCACCCCAUGCCUGCUCGUCUUGCGUGGCGGCUGACAGCCACGAACUCAUCCCGCCGGACGGAGGGCCAUUGGAUCUGCGCUACGCGAGGGCCGCCGCGACCGAGGGCCACUGGAUUUGUGCUGCGCGGCGCCGGCUGGGGCGGUCAACGUCGGCGGCACUGGGCAUCUCUUUCGUGUAGGAGGCCAAACCGGGGCGGGCGGCAUGGUAUCCCUCGCCGAUUCCGGGUGAGGUGGCGGUGCUCAGGUCAGAUCCGGGGCGCGUGAGGUGCUUGGGGCUCACCGACCAGAAGUUGAGGAGGUCAAGCGGUGGCGGUUAGCAAGGGCGGCGGCGCGGCUGAAAACGCGACAGGCGAGGUCCAGGGGUUGGAGCUCCGGUGAACUCGGGCGGCUGCGCGGGCAAGGCUGACCAGGUGGCUGGACAAAGUCCAAGGACACAAGGGGCUUCGGCGGCACGAUGAAGAAUGUUGGGGUGUUUUCGCUUUUUGACCCAUCUAGCGCUGACGUUAGCAAAACGUUAACUGAGCCAAAUCCGUCCAUAGACAUGGUGACUUCUGCAAAAAAAAAAAAUGUAACAUAGUGUUUUCUGCAAACCUAGCCCUCAAAGUGGUGGUUUUAUGCAAUUUGCUCAAUUGAUUUCUAACGUAAAUAGAACUGUAAAUAGUAUCCCUUUGUAUUCACCAUUUCGUUAAGCAAGAGCUCUAGGCUAAUCUGGGACAUUCCAGAAAUCAAAAGGAAAUGGAAGAUGUUCCCAAGCCAGAAGCAACAUCAAGCAACUCUUAAACACAGCACAGGAAACAAGAUUAAAUAGCAAGUUGACCAUCUUUAGAUUCUCAGUCGACCAACAUCUGUCUUAAUAUCAAAGAGCUCAUUCUAACACAAACGAACCCAUAAACCAUGGUCUUAAGCUACAAUCUCGAUAAACAAAAUCAUCGCAGUGUUUGCAGAAUUCAAACAUCAACAGAGAGGACAGCACCCCACGCGCGCAUUGGAUCUGAAGACCUGUUGGGUGCUCCCACUUGCUGAAGAGUCGCUUCUUCACUCCAUGGUAGCUCCAGAACCAAAAGUGCCGCCGCCGCCUCCACGGCCAAAGGGCCUGGCAGCACCACCAGCACCCUGGAGAAACAAUUAUACAUUGUACCAAAUUAGAUAACCAUAAGUAUGGAGUUAUAUAUGUCCAAUGAAGGAAUGUUUUACAUAGUACUCCCUCUGUCCCAAAAUAAGUGACUCAACUUUGUACUAACUUUACACUACAAAGUUUGGUCGCUUAAUUUGGGACGGAGGGAGUACCAACACAAGAAUUGAGCACUGUUUAACGUAGUACAAAAAACAGAACUGAGCACUGCCAAGCUAAGAUCAAGCCUCAUAGUAAACCAGAGCUGAAUACUACAAUCAAUGAUCAAGCAAAAAAGCAAACACAGUAUCACAGUAGAACAGUUCAACAUACAAUCUAGUUACCAACACUUGUUCAAAUGCUAGACGCUAGAAACAUAAUCAUGCCAUGAAAGCAGACCUCAGUCGAUGACAACAAUCAUAUGGAACAGUAAGUGCAGCCCUUACCCUGAAAGCUGGCUGGUACUCAGCAGGAGCUCCACCCUUCUCACCAGCAAAAUCCCCUGGAGCACCACGUGGGCCUCCUCUGUAACCAUCCCUGUCACCAUACCUGGGCCUGUCACCCUCAAAACGAGGAGGACCCCUGCCAAAUUUAACAAAACCAAUUAGUGAAUAGGAAUACAUCAGUGUUCUUGAUAUAUGAAUGUGACAUUAACAGAAAAGCUGGAUACCAUGGAACAAUUGCAUUUCAUACUUUGCCAAAUGUAACUACUUAUGACUUUAACUACACAGCAUUCCAGGGAGGAAUUGCAAGUUCAAUGAUAGAAUAUAUAAAGAAUGCAAGCCUAAUUCCCCUGUGUUCCCACAACUAAAUCACAUGGCGAUAUAACAGAAAUGGAACAAAGAUUAUUAUUGAGCAUUACUGUGGCAUGGCAAGGUUCAUCAAAUAAUUUAAUCUUUGCUAAACAAAUGUUGGAUCAGGACUAAAAAUUAUACUCAUUCCAAGUCAACAGGCACCAAGACUGGACAGACUAAUAAAUAUCCAGAGUAUAACUGCAUGAUCAAUGAGGCACAUCCUCACAAGAUCUUAUGCCCAAAACAGACAGACAGAAUGAUGAAGAUACUUAGCUCACCUGGGGCGGUCACCCGGUGGGCCAGAGCCGAAGGGGCGGGACGGGGGCUUGGCGGACUUCUUGAGGGUGUUGGGCACAAUCUCAGACGGCAGGUUGAGGAAGGUGCGUAGGAACUCAAUGCCGUCGUUGGUCAGGUACCAGUAGUAGUGCUGCCACGAGAAGGUCUCCCUGACGUACUCCUUGGACUUGAAGCUCUGCAUGAGCUUGAUGACCUCCAGGUUCGAGGCAUCGACCUGGGGGUGCUUGGCCAGGUUGUAGUCCUUCUUGGCGUACAAGACUCCCUCUGCACACACACGCAUCACAAUAAAUUCAGUCAAAUCGUUCAGUCCGUCCAAAGGAGUAGCAUUCUUGCACACAUCAAAAGUUGAAAUUCGCAGCAAGGAAUUCAGUUAAGAUGCUCAGACUACUGUAAUAGUCAGUAGAAUUCUUCAAGAUUGCAGCUUGCGCAUGAACAAGAUUCUUCGGUCAGGAUGUCAGUGAUAUAAUAACUGUCUAUGCUCGAACCUUGCAGCAACCGCGCGUAAGAGCGAACUCGCCGCGGUCAAUGGGUGCCAAGAUCACUGACGGAGCAACCUGGCUAAAACCCUAGACUUGACUCGAACCCUACGGAAGAAGACUAACGAGAUGGCAUCUGGAUCCUAACCACAGCCUGCAAGGUGCGAAAAAUGGGCGAGGGAGGGGGGAGGGGCUCACCCUGGAAGAGGUACUUGCAGAUCUCGCGGCGGUUCUUCUUGGAGAUGAUCUGCGGAGGGAGACAAGGGAGGUCAGAUUAGGGAGUUCUACGACCGGAGCGACCAACGCGGAGAGCGGACUGGGCUGGGGGAUGCUUACCAUGGUGACGGGCGGCGGCGGGGACGGAGACGGCGUGCAGGGGAGCGGGAGGCGGAGCGCGGCUGCUGCGAGGGAUGGAGGGAGGGAGAAACCCUAGCCGUCUGGGGGGUCGGUAUAUGUAGGGAGCCGCCUGGGCCGCGAGGUGGGGGUGAGAUGGGAUGGGCUGGUGUGGUGGGCUUGCAUCUGGGCUUGUUGUUCCUGGGGCAGGCUUUGCCACUUUGCUGUGUGGUUCUGUGCAGGCCCGGUCGAGAAGACACACGGUGGCCCACUCAGGUGCUCUUGGUAAACAUUGAGAUGACAUGGGCUUGUGCUUCCCCUCUUCUCUUUUCAAUUUUUCACACUCGCUUGAAUUCCAUGUUCGUUCAGACGUGCAAGCUUACUGGUUUCAGAUAAUGUUAGCCAUGUAUAUGAAAAAUGUUAAGCCUGUAUAAAAAAUGUUUUGGAUGUGUACCGAAAUGUGCAGUGCGUAUGAAUACAAUAGGCAUCAAAAGGUGUGUUUCGAAAAUUAUGUUAAUCAUAUAUUUGAAGAAAAUGUUAAGCAUGCACUAAAAUAUGUUUUGGAACUGUAAGGAAAAAAUGUACGAUGUGUCUGAAAAAAAGUGGACAUCAAAACAUAUACUGGAAAAAAUGUGAAUCAUGUAUAUGAAAAAUGCUAAACCUGUAUAAACAAGUGUUUUAGAUGUAUACCAAAGAUGUACAAUGGGUAUGAAAACAAUAGACCUAAAACCAUACAUUUUAAAAAGAAAAUCUUAAUCAAUUAUUUGAGAAAUUUUAAGUAUUAAAAAAUGUUUUAGUUACCAAAAAUGAACAAUAUGUAUGAAAACAACUUACAUCAUAACCUAUAUUUGAAACAAAUAUUAAUCAUGUAUUUGGAAAAUGUUAAACGGGUAUGAAAAAAUAUUGUUGACGUAUACAAAAAAUGUACAACGUGUAACAAAAAAUGUAGGGAUAUAUUGAAAAAAGGAACAAACACAGAAAACCAAACAAAGAAAGCAGAAGAGAAAAAAAGAAAUGAAAAAACAAAAGGAAAACUAGUGAAAAAAUAAAAAGAAACAAAGAAAACAAGAAACCCGAGAAAGAAACAAAAAAACAAAGAAAACCGCCUCCAAUCCAACUAUGGGAGCAACUGAGCAUGUGCACGAACCCAAAAAAAAUGAUUGUAAAGUCAUGCAGUCCACACGACUGUGCCAGAAAACAAACAAAAACUGGUACACCGGGCCAUCCGGUCCCAUUUUUGGACACGUGUAAGCGAGUGCAAUGCAGUUUUUGCAGUAACCAAUAUAUAAAUAAGUUUUCUUUAGAAAUAUAUAUAUAUAUAAAGAACUAAGCGAGUGCGCUCGUGCACAGGAUGAGCACAACCGAGUACGUUCGUGGGCCACGGCCCAAGGUAAUCACGUUCAGGCGUUUGGCGGAAAGAAAACAGAGUUGAAGAAACAACCAUUCUCUCUCUCUCAAUUUAUUUUUGAAGAAACAACUAAAUACAGAUGCAUGUCGUCCGACGGAAGAUUGGGAAUUACACGGGAGUCCACACUCACCUGAAUGUUGUUCCACGGGUGUAAAAAAACAUGUCGUGAUGCCAAAGUUGUUUGCUUCAGAUCACACCUAGGAUUCAGAACUAAGAAUUUAGAUGGGACCAACAUGGCUCGGCUACACAAAAUUCAGCUGACCAACAUCGAGACCUCUCACGUAUCUUUUAUAAAAGAUAAAAGCGCGCCAAAUUUGAAGAUGAGCUCAAUCUCCAAAUCUCCAUGCCAUAUAGAGCUUGCUAAAACAAACAAAUCUAAGCUCACCCAGAAAAAAUCCUUCACAAUUUGAUCCAAGGAUGGGGGCCAAUGCCCCCCCCCCCCCACAUACAAUUAUCAGCAUCCGACACUUUUUCAUAGUACCGAUAAUUCUGCUUGAACUGCUCCAUAGAUCCAGUACUUUCGCUCUCUUCCUAAGCAGAAUAUCUUAAGCAGGCAUCUCUUGAAAGUCAAACACGCACAUGACCCAGGAACUAAUGUUUAGGAGAAAAGAGAGCAUAAGUGUAAUGCUGCACAGGUACGCAAAUGCAUUGGACGUGGCAUAACUGGCACAAGGUUCGUUCUCGCAUAGGUCAAAACCGAUGAUGAACCAAGAAAUGCACCUCACAUGCUCGCUGAACCGACAAGAGCUGCUCCUAUAACCUGUAAAAAACAAUACCAUGAUGAGGAACAAUAGAGAGAAUGAAAAUAAAAAUAAAAUAAUCAAAUCCAUUUGACUACUUAUAAAUACUUCUAUUCUACUCCCUCCGUACCAAAAUAUAGGAUACUUUUGCAGUGCAACAAUGUCCUAUAUUUUGGCACAAAGAUAGUAGUCUAUUAUUUGUUUGUCUUUAGCUACUGUUUAUCAAAAAAUAUAAACAACUCACUGACUGCAAAAGGAGGCUGAAAUCAUUCCAAGUUCGUGAUAAGGUGAUGGUAUAUCCCCGAAAAGAGAGAUUGUCUUUAGGUAUAAAAGAAAAGCUUAGCAGCGAAGGUAAGUGCCCUUCUCUAUUCAGAGGAAGAUAAAUGAUAAUGCGUAUGUAAUAGAUCUUCCAAGCAACAUAUCUUUCUACCACCCAAGCAACAUAUCUUUCUACCACCUAGAAGAAGUGCUCUAUGAAGAUAACUCAUGGUCCAAGUUUAAACAACCAAGGGAGAAUUAUGAGCAACAACAGAUAGAGAAAAAUAAAAUCAAAAAUCAAAUCCAUCUGAUUACUUCCAGAUACUUAUAGUCUAAUCAACUAGUAUUUCUUUGUCUUCUUAGCUUUAGCUACUAUUUUCUAGAGUCUUCUAGCUAUGAGUAGAAUGUUAAAUCUUAAGUAACGGUUUCUAAAGUGUUCUAGCUAUAAGUAGAAGUUAGGGUGUUAAAGCUUACCCAAAGCUCUAUGUAUAGAUAUAGGUCCACACCUCUAGUUUGCAACAAGAUUUUGUACCCCACUGCCUAUGAUAGAACUUGGUGUUCUUAUCUAAGAUCAUAAAUUAGAUCUUGUGCUCUAUGAGUUUUGGACUGAACUCAUGUUGCCGUAUCGGCCUAUAUUCGCCUCUAGAGCGAUAUCUAGCACGGCAUGUUGAAGUAGUUCCUUCAACACUACACAUUGUAGCAACAAGUUGGAGUUGUUCCUCCACAACCUUGUGCUGCCUCACACCACUAACUCAAAUACAUUACUAUGAGAAAAGAAACAUUGAGAAGAUUAGAAUGCACACUUCCGCGAUAGCAAGAGCCUGACUAAGCAAAGCAUGAUGUAGAUGCGGCUUGACGAGCAGUGCGUACACAUCCAGAAAAGCCAACAUCAGACUCCACAGACACAUCACGCCAGAAGCUGCAAGAACAAAGCUGACCAAAUGAAUACCUCGUUAGUUUGAUAUCCAAAAAGAACUAGGAGCAACGUGAUUAUUAGAAUACAAGUAAAAAAAUCUGACCUAGAGAAGGGAACAUACGUGAAGCUGGUGCUGGCCAUAUGUCUGCUAGCCCACUGGCUCCACUGCCCCCCUCCACCUCCAUUGGGAUUUGGAUUCAUUAAGGAUUUGGGUAUGAACUAACUAUUGUAUGCAUCGGUAGAGAUUGUUAAACAAAUAGAAUAUAAGCUCACCCCAAGAAAAUCCUUCACAAUUUGAUCCAAGGGUGGGGGCCAAUGCCCCCCCCCCGCCCCCAACUCGGUAUGCGCGUAGCUCUACCUCCGAUUCUAUGUACAGUAUCACACUGGCUCGCAAAAUUAGAACACUCAAAAGAUAAAAAGUAGGGAACCAAAAUAUCACACCACAUAUAAUAGCUACAUAAAACUAUAGGGAGAAUACUACCGGUUGAAUGAAAAUGUAAAACCCCUUUCACAUGUUUCUAACAAAGUAGUCAAACGAACAACUUUGUAGUUUCAUGGUCAGCUUGAUUACAUCUUCCAGGGAAAAAAUGACAUGUUGAUUUCUUCAGUUAUACAAGUAGAAUUGAGCGAAACAUCCUUCCAUGAACUAGUUCACGGUAUGGGAAAAAUUAACAGAAGUGGCAUGUUGAUUUCUUCAGAUAUACAAGUACAAUUGAGCAAAACGUUCUUCCAUGAACUAGUUCACAUAAUUAGGGCUCGAUAAGACUUGCAUAGAGGGAGAGGAUGUGAUAUUGUACCAAUAUUUUGAACAACAUUUAUCGGCUUGGCACUGCUGGCUGUAGGCGUGAGGACCACAAGAGCGAUGAGAAUCCAUUUUUUUGUUUUCUUCUUGGUGCACCGGAAUUUCUUCUCUCAGCUUGUCUCCGAAUGGAACUUGUCCUUUUCAGGGCUCUUCGGCUUAGUAGCGGUGUCGUGUGCCGUGCUUGAUGGUACAUUUUGGUUGAAUCAAAAUAGUUACUUCUUUUAAGUUCAAUUUCUAUGAGAGAACAAUAUGAAUGUUAUACAUUGUUCUGUUAAAACACUCAUUUUUUUGGUAUAACUAUAAACUUUUACAUGGCUCCUUUUGUUUAGUGUCUCCUAUUUUUUUUGGGUUUAUUAACCUUUUGUUUUCUUCUAUUGGUAUUCUGCUAUUUUGCUAUAUAAGGGGCAGUAGGAUUUAUUGUAUCUGAAUCUACCACUUCAAGCACUACAAAGGAGCAGCGGAGAGAACUGCUACGAAGAUAGCAUCACAAAUAUUCACAAGUCUAAGUCUGAACCACUUCAUACAGGUAGAAGUAGAAUGUUCAACAAAACAUAUGUUUCAAAAGCUGACUUGUGCUAUUAAAAUACACAAUGCACGAAUUGGAAGUUCUACCCUCUUAUAUAAGCUCUACCAGCAGCAUAUGUUGAUUAUCUGACCACCUUGUUAUCUCGGCAGUUGUAGGAAGCUCCAG